AAGUUGAGGGUAUUUUCGUCAUACUAAAUUAUCUUCUCUACUUCCACUGUAUUAGAGGUGGGUUAUACGUGUCAUCCAGUUCGGUUCAUCCCUUUCAUCAAAAUCCAUUCAUCUGCCAAAUCUCCAAACUUUCUUCAUCUUCCAUUUUUCUCAAAUCCAUUCAACUGCUGCAAUUCUCAGGUACUUCUUAUUUUUUUGGUCUCUUAACCUUCAAUUUUUUCUGGUUGAAUGAAUUUGUAAAGUUUCGUAUUUUUUCCUUUCAAUUCUCUUCAUCUUCAAAUUCAAUUUUGAUCUUUAGGAAGAAUAACAUUUUUUUAGAUUUAGUAGAAUGGGUUUAUUAAAUAAGCAAAGAACAAAAAGAAGAUGGAGUUUCUUAUUUACUCCUAUGCAUUUGACAAUUAAUUCUAUGAGGUUUUGAAGUUUUGGUCUUUAUUAGUUUUACAUCUAUAUAGAAUUACAAAAAGUUUUCGUGUGGGUUGGGGGGGGGGGGUUUAGACCAUUUUCUCUAUAUAGAAUUACAAAAAGUUUUCAUUAUUUUGUUGGUAAAAAUCCGAAAAGCAAUCAAAUUAGUGCAAAUUGAAAAUACAAAUCUGCCAAAAAUUUCAAUACCCGAAUGAAAUAGAUGAAGUGAGCUCAAAGAGCAAUCUUGAAAAUAAGAAUGAAUAUCAAGGAAUUUGUAUGUUUUUCAAUCAAAAGAGAAUUAACUCUGUCGAAAUUUGAGCAAUUAGUGUUAAUUUGAUUGAACCCUAACCCCGAAAAGGGGCAUAUCUGUUGGAGAAUAUAUAUGCACAGCGGAAGCAUACUAGAAUCUUACUAGAAUCUUACUGCUUACAUGAAUAAUAGAUAACCAAAUAGUUUAUGCUAGAACACAUAUAAUACAUUAGAACACAUAAACUUGCUGGAAUUUAAUUUGAUAAAUACCUCUUUAAGCGUGAGUAGAUACCUUCAAACGAAUCUCCAAGUUAGAUAGACUUUCAAGCGAAUCCACAAGAUAGACAACAACUAUGGUCUUCUACAGUGAUCUCAAGUUCACAUCCGAACUCUCUCAAUACUUGGGUGGACAAGUAUCGAAUAGAAAACUAAUUCCAUCUUUUUCUAGGUUAAAUCUCUAUUUAUAGAGAUUUCUUCUCCAAUCCAAAAAGGAGAAGAAAACCCAAUUUUCUUGAAAAACAAGAAAACCCACGCCUACUCCUUUCCCCCCUAAGAAAUAGGAUUCUGAGUUCUAGUUAAAUAUGAGCACCGGAGGGACCACAUACUUAAUUACUUAGGCUUCCUAUUAUGGAAAUAAUUUCAAAUAAUUAAUUUGAAUUAUUCUUACCUUAAUAAAUUACAAGUCAUUCCACUAGAAAUUCGUAAUUGCACUCCUCUAUUUAUAUUUCGUAAUUCCCCAUUAAACACUUAUGUAAUUCCCCAUGUUAAGAUUUCAGAUACUAAUCAAUAAAUUAAAUUACUGAUCAAUUUAACUUAAUGAUUAAUUUCCUUUAGAGCACUACUUAACUUAUUUCAUGUGUCGGAUUCAUAAAUCCACUUACAAGGUUUGACACGAUGAAAACUUAUAAGUUUCUCAAAAAGACAUAUCAAUCAAUCUCNNNNNNNNNNNNNNNNNNNNNNNNNNNNNNNNNNNNNNNNNNNNNNNNNNNNNNNNNNNNNNNNNNNNNNNNNNNNNNNNNNNNNNNNNNNNNNNNNNNNNNNNNNNNNNNNNNNNNNNNNNNNNNNNNNNNNNNNNNNNNNNNNNNNNNNNNNNNNNNNNNNNNNNNNNNNNNNNNNNNNNNNNNNNNNNNNNNNNNNNNNNNNNNNNNNNNNNNNNNNNNNNNNNNNNNNNNNNNNNNNNNNNNNNNNNNNNNNNNNNNNNNNNNNNNNNNNNNNNNNNNNNNNNNNNNNNNNNNNNNNNNNNNNNNNNNNNNNNNNNNNNNNNNNNNNNNNNNNNNNNNNNNNNNNNNNNNNNNNNNNNNNNNNNNNNNNNNNNAUAUCAUCUUAACAGUGACUCUGCAGUCAUAAUGUUCCAAAAAUGAAGAACAAGCAUCCUCUAUAUACACAUGAAUAAAUAGUGCAUGAAGGCCAUGUUCAUAAGUACUCUGAGCAAAAGUACUACUAUAUAUAGUAACAUUAAUCCUCCAAUGUUUAUCUUUAAAUCCAGCUUUUCCAUCCAAUUUUCUAUCCCAUUCUAAUUCAAUUUUCCUUUGCUCUGUCAAUCCACAAAUUUUUUGUAAACUCUCAUCCAUUGAGUCAUGUAGUUUCCACCAUGUCUCGUGCGCGAUAUUGCUAGCAUAAUUUAUAAAUACGUUGAUCACCUAUGUCCCAGUUACAAUUGUAGUCCCUAUAACACACCCAUGGCUUUAACCCGAGAUAAUGCAUAGAGUAUACUUUUGGAGGAUUUGCCCCGAAUAGUUGAUUCUUAACGCCGACCUCAUUCGAAUUAUUUGACCAAAAUUUCUUUAAGAAAUUAACCCUUCUAGGCAACCUAUGCCACCGUACAAAUACUUCAUUAAGGAAACCUUGGUCACCUCCAUUACAUGAAAUGAUCUCUUUUGUACGUUUCAUGAACAUUUUGAAGGUGCAAUUUGAUGGCUCAUUCCGGAAUUGAAGAUUGACGCAUCGUUGCCUUUCAGUGAUCUUCCCAGCUGUUAUACUAGAAGUUGAAGAAGAAUUGGUCGCAACUCAUUUAACAGGUAUCUGAAUUUUAUUUAUUUUACAUUGCUCAAUAGUUGAAUCUUCUAAUUUCUUCAUUAUUUAUAUUGUGGUUUGGGAACUUAUAUAUAGAGUAAAAGAUUAUAGUUUUAAAGUUGUGAUUUAUGCAUGCCAAUGUAUAUAUAUAUAGUAGCUGUCUUACUGUACCUUUAAAUAUUCUUACAUCUUAAAUCAAUACAUAGUGUUUUCCACAACAGAUAUUUUAUUUAUAGCUGUGUAUUUUCUUUCAUUCUUCUCAUUUGUUUUUGCAGAAAAUUUGACUGCUACAUUUGGAUCUUUUUGAAAAGUUAGUUUGAAGAGAGGGCCCAAUACUCUUAUUGAUAUUGUUAUAUAUACUGUACCAAUAUACUCUACAUCAACUACUAAAGACAUUUCUCCUACUUCAACAGAAAGCCUCAAAUGUCACAAAAUUACAACGGUAAUAAUAAAGAUAUAUAGUCAAGAUGAUUGCCGCCAACAUAGUAAUGGAUUACUUUGUCUUUUGCGACGACUUCUGUAAAUCUGUAAAUACAUACAUAGACGCUGAAAUCCAUGUAUUUGCAGUUUUUCUAUGAAACAAACUUCAACUGCUUUACUGAUUUAUCAGAUGUUGCCUAACAAGUAUUCUCAGCUAUUCUCGCCUUACAAGCAUUCUUAACUAUGGUCGUUUCAUAUAUAUUGGGCCCGUGCACGCACAAAUAAAUAUUUAAACAUGUACAAAGUUGAAUAAAUAGACACAAGAAUUCUACGUGACAUAUUUAUGUAUUAUACCUAAUGGUGAGGUGGUUGAUAAUAAUUUCUCAUGUGUGAAAGCAUUUACCGGCCAUUUGUGGUUGUCAUAUAAGUCGUGCCAUGCCGAUUGACGUUUUUAGCCAUUUUACCGAAAGUAAAUUUUAAAAUAUUGUUUUCCUCUUAUUUUAUACUCCUCCAUUCAAAUUUAUGUUAGUUUAAUUAAGCUCGGAGUUUCUUAGAGGUUAAGAAACACAAGAAGAUUUUGCAAUGCUUUAAAAUUAUUUUAAAAAUAUGUAGAUUUUUAAAUAAAAAAGUAAAUAUUGGUGAAAUUGUUUGCCAGAUAAAUGUAAUCCAACAUAUAUAAAAUGUUGAUAGUAUCAUUAAAUAUUUAUCAAAUAAAAAAAAUAUCAUAUAAACUGAGACAAAAAAGUAUAUAGAUUUAAAGCUAUUGUCUUCCUCUUGCUUUAUACUAUCUCUGUUCCUAUUCAUAUGGACUACUUUUUCUUUAAUCAGUCAAUAAAAAACUGACAUUUUAUAUUUAGUAAUAAUUUAAUUUUAAAAUAUUUAUUAUUUUUUAAUGUCAAAGUUAAAUUAUAGUACUAUAUAAAGACGAAAGACAAAUACUAGUACAGUAGAAUCUAGAUGUGAAGCUUAUAUGUUAGAUUUGACAAUAUCUUCUUUUUUUUUGGGUAAUAGGUUUGACAAUAUUGAGGGCAUGUCAAUAUCAAGAGAGCAUGAAUUGGAUCGCCCAAAUUUCCUCCUCAAAUCAAAAUCAUUUAUCAAUUUAACUUUAAAAUGUUCAUUUUACUUUUAAUAGAUGAUUUAUAAUUAUACAAAUUUCUAUAAUUCAUUUUAGUUUAUAAUUUUUUAAAACCUUUUUUUUUUAAUUUAUAAAUCUUGUAUCGAAUCAAACUAAUUCACAUAAAAUAAAAUGAAGAGAGUACUAUUUAUUUCCAACAGAUGUCGUAAGCAGUGUCCUCACCAGAGUCGCUAUAUAUCUUAGCUUUCAUAAUAUCUCUAUUUUUUUCUAUCACAAAAAAUUCAUUUUCGAUACAGAAGGAAUUCCCCGUCUCUCCACACUGAAUUUUUUGCUUAUUGAUCGGGUAAGUUUAUAUCUUCUUAAUGAUAAUUAGUAUACUUUAUUUACAGAUUUACUGUACCAGAUCAAAGAAUUUCAUUGAUCAUAAUAUAUAUGUUAGUUUUUCGAUGAAUUUUAGCUUUAUGCACGAUUUUUACUAUGUGUUUGGUAUGAAGGAACAUGUUUUCUGCUGAAAAAUAAAUUCGUAAAAAAUAUUUUCUUGAAAAAUAAAUGAGGUUCUUACUUAUUUUCUUAGUCAUUGGCAAGUAAAUAAGAAAAUAUUAUCCAAGAAUAUUUAUAUGUUAUCUCGCAUAAUAUAUGGAGGUGUGAUGGGAUGGGAUGGGGAGUGGCAAAGGCGGAGCUAGGUGGGGUUCGUGGGUUCAAACGAACCCAAUAAUAUUUUCGUAGAUCCUAUAUUUGUACUGAAAAAUUAAAUAAAUAUAUAUGUAUAUUAACUUAUGAACCCCAAAUGGUACUAAGGAAGGAUUGUACAAAUGCUUUCCAUGCCACAGUUGUGGGUUUAGCCAGAGUUGUGGGUUCAAACCCACUAUCAACUUUUUAAAUGAAAUUUAGAACUCUCAAACUCCUAAUUUGCCGAGUGGGGGUGGCGGGGUGGAUGAUCAAGGAGAGGGGGGUUGAGGGUAUUGGGCGGCCUGAGAGAAGACAAUAAACUUGGAAUGUUACGUAUGCAACUUGUUUUACUAGAAAAAUAUUUUUCAAACAAAGGAAAAUUGGAAAAUAUUUUCCUCCUUACCAAAACCUAAGAAAAGGUGAUCAAUGACUGUUUAAUUAACUUUCAUCUUUUUCUUAAAUUUCUAGUGUAUGUUAUUAUACAAAGUUACAUAUUUAUUUCACUUUCAAGUACCAGACAAGGGAAAAAGACUGUUUGCAGUAUUCUGUAAUUCCUUUUAUCAACAAUAACAGAAUGUAUGCAUUCUUACAUAGAAUUACAGUUAAAAUUUGAAGUUUAUAGGUUCAGGGAUUUUAGUCCUUUUAAGUUACUGUGUUCUAGAUUAAUAUUAUGUUCAUAUUCAAUGAAUAGUUUUUAAUACUAAUAUAUUAUUUGGAUCAAAGCUACCACUACUAAAAUAAAUCACUAUUUUUCCAUAGAAAUUUUCCACUAAAAAAUGUUCAAUCACAAUUCUCACCGAUUUUUUGAUUGAAUCGAUGAGAAAAGAGAAAUAGUAAUAUGUUCAUGUGGAAAAAUUAGAAAGUUUUCCACUAUUUCAAUGAAAAUUUGUUUCCCACCCUGUAUUUUUCCACCCAGUGAGCUGGUUUGAUGGAAAAUGAGUGGAAAAAAUCAUGUUUUGUAGCAUAAAUUUUCCACUAAUUCACAGUGGGAAAAAUAUUUGUUUGUAGUAGUGUAUUGGUCACAUCCGUAGCCAAAACGCUAGCUCUUCCCCUUAACAGAAACUAAUACUAGACUCUUUUUGCUUAAAUUUAUGGGUUGUUGAUUGGUUGAGGAUACUGUUGUCAACAGAUAUACUUGCAUCAAGUGAAGUUGUAAAGAGAGAAAAGAUGUUAGGCUGUCCAAAUUACCAGUUGCUUUCACUUGUUUUGAUCUUACUGUUAAUAAUGGUUGAUCCAAGUUCACAAGAAAGCCGUGUGAAAUCUGCUGUCUUUCUAUCACCAGCGUUUGUGCUGGAACCUGGAUCUGUCUCUAACAAGUUUUACUACAACAUUGGCUUCCCAAAAGGCCAUAUUGCUAUCAAAAAUUUCGAUGCCGAAGUAGUUGAUGAGGCAGGGAAUGCUGUACCUCUCUACGAGACAUAUCUUCACCACUGGGUUGUUGUAAGAUAUUAUAAUCGAAAAGGUGUGGAAGUAACAAAGUACCGUGAUGAUUUGGGGUUCCACCAAUCAGAUUUAAUUGUCAAGAGAAACUCAGGGAUAUGUGAUGGAGGCCUUUCUCAAUAUUUUGGCCUUGGGUCAGAGACGCGAAAAACAAUCACCUAUGUUCCAGACCCUUAUGGAAUAGAAGUCGGUAAUCCAGUCGAAGUACCUCCUGGAUACGAGGAGAAAUGGUUGCUCAAUUUACAUGCAAUUGAUACACGAGGUGCGGAAGAUAGAUUGGGAUGUACUGAAUGCAGGUGUGAUCUUUAUAAUGUUACCAAGGACGAGCAUGACCGAGUUAUAGAGCCAGAUUACAUUGGAGGGUUGAGAUGUUGUUACGAUGAAACAAGAUGCAGGGUGAAAGACGGAUUCCAAGGAUCAAAGAGAAGCCUGUACCUGAAGUACACAGUGAAGUAUAUUGAUUGGGAUCCCUCCAUCGUGCCUGUAAAAAUUUAUAUACUCGAUAUAACUGAUACAUGGAAAAAGCCAGAAAAAUCGACUGCCGCUGUGGCAAGACAUCACUGCCAGGUGUGAGAGAAAAUGAUAAUUUAGCUCAUAAUUCAAAUCAUUUUUAACUCUUUACUAAUAUUCAGGCAAUUUCUUUUACUUCAGAUUGAAUAUUUAGUGGAGUCAUGUUCAUCAGCUGUUGCAAAUGUCGAUUGCACUCAUACAAAGAAGAUAAUUGUAACUUUUCCUAGCGGCGGAGAUGUUAUCUAUGGAGUUGCUCAUCAACAUACAGGAGGGACUGGUAUGGCACUCCAUGGAGAGGUACUCCGAGCUAUUAUAUUUUGUUUCUUUGGUUAUGCUCUGCUUACAAUCUGGAUUACUUGUAUACGUUUCUUAUAUAUUUUCAGUCGAUUAACUUAUUGAUAAAAACAAAGAUUUUUGUACAAUAAACUUUUUCAUUUAAUGAUACUUGGCUUAGUUGGGUGUCAUCUUAACACUGGUUAUGUAUGCCACGACUUUCAAGACCAGAUUGAUUGAAUCCAUAUCUAAUCUCGUUCUCUUAACAUCCUAUAAAAGAGAAGUGUUGUUAGUGUUUAUUUGACAUGAUUGUCAUACUUCCACAGAUUAUUUUGUUGAUUCAAACUGUUAUGUCCCAGACUGUCAGAAUGGUAUCAUUUCAAUUUAUUUUCAAUUAGCUGCAGAAAGCUUGAUGUUUUUUAUUAUACUGAAUGGAGCCUCCUGCCCGUUGAGACAAUUAAUGGCCGUGUUAUAUUGUCUGCUUAGUUAAUAUAGUGGCCUCUCGAUGAACUGCGUCAUUUUAUAGGUGAUAAUAUUGCUUCUUGAUAGUUAACUGCUUUAGUUUUGUAAGUGCAUAGGUGUAAGUUCAGUACUUGUGUGGGAACUCAGGAAGAUAAGCUGGUGUAUAAGGCCAUGGCUAUCGGGUAGUAAAACAGUCAUAAUAGUUGUUGCGUGUUUGUAUAGCAUAUUAUUCUCAAUUGUCGUCAUGAUUAGCUAAGCAGAUUUACUUGUUCUGAUUUGUGGAGCACCUUGUUUGUUGGUGUUUGGUGUUGGUUAUUUCUUAAUUUCUUCUUCUCUGUUUCCGCUGCUUUGGUCUAGGAUGGACGUGUCAUAUGCUCAUCUCUUCCAAUCUAUGGGGAAGGAAAGGAACCAGGAAAUGAAGCUGGUUACAUUGUCGGGAUGUCUACUUGUUAUCCUAGACCUGGCUCUAUCAAGAUCUCGGAAGGGGAGACUGUAACUUUACUAUCAAACUAUAGCAAUGCCCAAAGGCAUACAGGAGUGAUGGGGUUGUUCUAUCUCUUAGUUGCUGAACCAUCACCGAAGCCUAAUUCUAUCCUACAUUCCACAGAUGAAGUAAGAUCUUUGACUCAUUAAAAGUUUUCGAGAUUCAGAGUAGUGAAUUUCCUACUUGAGUCUACACAAGAUCAUAUAUUUCUGAACUUGUUUCUUCUUCACUAUUGCAGACAGGUGAGAUUGUAAUAUUGCAGAAUGCUAUUGGAGCCUUGGCAGCAGUGUUCGGAAUUGCACUACUUGUUGGUGCUGCUGUUAUUUAUCAACGUCGGAAUCAAAGGGAUCAGGAAGGCUAUGAGUCUAUACUGAUGUGAGGUUCUUUCCCUUCUGGUGACUCUGGUCCCUAGUGUAAUACACAAAAUUCAAGUUCUGAUCUCCCUUCUUUUCGUGGACUAGUUCCUCCACAUGUGUGUUGCACUUGUAUGUCAAGUCAUGAAUUAUACGAUUUUGUAAAAUAAUAAUGAUAUUAUUAAAAUAAAACUUUGAGUAAAUGAUAGUACAAGUAUUUGUGAAUGAUGUAUCUUUGGAUCUUUGUAUAGUGACAUGUUUGUCAUUGUUAAGAAGUUGAAUAGUUAAUUAGCAUUAAUUAGAUAGAUAUUAUCUAGCAAAAAUAUUCUUUUAACUUAUAAGUAGGCUUCUGUUAGGGUUUUGUCCUGAUUUUCUUACCAUAAUUUAAGAUUUAUUUUUCCUUAAAGAAAAGACAAAACAUUACCAUAAAUGUUUUUACUUAUUUGAAAGGAAAAUAUAAUAUUCUUUCAUAUUUGAUUUAUUCUCUCCUUUUAGGACUCCUUUUCUAGUAAGAAAAGGUUUUAGGACUCUAUAAAUAUGUUUGUUUCUUCUAACACAAAAACAAUAACAUCCACAAUGUAGUCGUUUAACAGUCUUGUUUAUGGGGAGAUUUAUUCUCUCUAAAGUUUCAAUGUUUUUCUUUAUAUUAGUUUUGAUAUAAUAAUAUUUUGAUUUUUUAGUAUAAGUUUUUUGUUAUCUGAUUUAUCAACUAUAUGAUUUGUAAAUUGUAAGCUUCCGCAUGACGCCCUAAUCACCCUUCAGAACCCAACAGCUUCCUACUUCUAAAAGUAAAUAAGUUCAAAUUUAAUUUUCAAUCUGAAUAUCUCAAAGGCAAAACAAUUUGGUUAGUUGACAUCUUACUUUUGCAGUGAAAUAGCAAGAAAGAAUUAAUUUAUUUCCAAGAGGUUACUGUUGCCGUGAAAUAACAAAAAAGAAUAAUUUAUUUCAAAGAUGUUACUUUUGCUUUUCUAAGGACAAAACAGAUCUUGAAUUCAGCUAAAAUUAUUGAAUUAGGAUUAAAUAUAAUAAUGUCAGAAACAGAUUUAAGGGAAAAUUACGCAACAAGGCAAAAUGUGAUAUUUAUUUACGAUAAAAUAUUACAAUUCGUAGCUAUAUGUAGGGUUUUAUAUAUUGUAUUCAAAAAACUAUUUUAUAUUUUGUAUCAAUUGUAUUUGUAUUCUGUAUCAAUUGUAUUCAUGAUACAACGAAUAUAAUAUGCAUUUAUCCCCUCUUUCAAAUAUAUUAUGUAUCAAUUAUAUCCAAUCAAAUAUAGGUGAAAGAUUUAUCUUUUAUAUCAGUUGAGAACUACCAUUGUCAUGGGAUUGCUCUUCAUUUAUUUCAUCACAAAAAAACUCCUAAUUUCUCCUACAUUUUUUAGUCUCCACACUGAAUUUUUACUAAUCUGGUAAGUUUGUCUCUUAUUAAUUUCUUUUUCUAAUACAAAAUUAUUUCUAUUCUUCCUAUACAUAAUAAGAAAAUGAGUAUGUAAAAACAAUAAGACUCACUCUUUUGUAUUCAACACGAAAAUAUGGUGUACUAUUUCUUAAUUUCCUAGUAUAUGUUAGUAUUAUACAAAGUUGCAUCUAUUUAUUUGACUUUCAAUUACCACAACAGGGGAAAAUAAUAUUUGCAGUAUCAUAUUAAUGAAUCUUCAGCUAGUUUUUGUUCUUUGUUCAACAAAAAAAAUGCCUAUUAAUUUGCCUCCACCAAACCCCGCCCAUACCCGCUCCAUUGUCAUCCCAAGCCUUGCCCUACCAUGGAUUCAACCCACCCUACCCUGCCCCGUUUAGCUCCUCUACUUUUUUUUUUUUAUCAAGUUUGCAAAGGUAAUUUAGAAAAUAAUCAAAUGUAAUCAAUGAAGCUUUGUUUCUCCUAAGAAAUUAACUAACAUGUUCCUAAUUACAAGAGUAGAACUUCAGGAGAAAAUGAUCGAAAUGGUCCUAAAUGUAUGUGUAAUGCUUUUUUUGGUCCUUAAUGCAUUUCACUUGAUUGGAAUGGUCCUUAAUGUAUAAUAAAUGUGUUCAUUUUAGUCCUUGAUAUAUUUCACUGGAUUGAAAUGAUCCUUAAUGUAUAACAAAAUAUGUUUAUUUUGGUCAUUAACCCUAAACUCAACAAGUUUAUCAAAAAAAUAAUCUUAAAUUUAACUGUGGACCCCACGUGGUGAAUUACUCCCAAGAAAUACUUUAUGAAAUCUAACAUCAUUUUCUCUAUUUUCUCUAACAUGUUUAUUAUUUUCUCUUGCUUAAAAUUGAAAUGGGUAUUAGGUUUUGAAAUAAUAUUAUAGAAAAGAGAAUAUAGUAAAUUUUGUUGGAGAAACUAGAGAAAAUGGUGUCAGAUUUAUGGAAUUCUUUCUUUAUUCUUUCUUUGGAGCUAACAAAAAAGACAAUAAUGGUAAUUUUUGUUAGCCAAGUAGGGUCUAAAAUAAAAUUUAACACUUUUUAUUUAGAUAUAGGGUAAAAGAUCAAAAUGAACCAUUUCAAUAAAAUAAAAUACAUUAAAGAUCAAAAUGAACAUAUUUGUUAUACAUUAAGGACCAUUUCAAUCAAGUGGAAUAUAUUAAGGACCAAAAAUAUAAAGCAUUACCUAUACAGGACCAUUUUGGUCAUUUUCUCAGAAUUUCACACAUGCCUAUUGUUUAGCUUGAUGAACUUGUCAAAUGUAAGAGUUUUAGAGGUCGUUUGGUACAAAGUUUAAUAACGCAUGGAUUAGUAACACAAAGAUUAGUAAUGCAAUGAUUAGUAGUGCAAUGAUUAGGAAUGCAGAGUUUAUUUAUAUCAAGUGUUUGGUUCAUUAUUUCUCACCUCUCUUGUGUUUGGAUUAAAACUCUAUAAAGUUUCUUUCCAAUUAUACCCUUGAAUUAUUAUUAAAUUGGGUCAAGUAAGAUAAUUAUCGGACAAUGCUAUUUUUUAUGGCGUUCUAACUAGCUAUGAGAAGAACAAUUUAGUUGUCAUGUUUGCUAUUUUUUCACUUGAAUUAUUUGAGGAUAAAUAAUUGUUAUCUUAAUAAAUUGAUCACUAAAAAAAUGUCAAUUUCCAAUUUAAAAAAGAUAAUCCAUCUACUUUUAAAAUAUGUUGCAAAUGUCGAUUGCACUCAUACAAAGAAGAUAAGCAUAACUUUUCCUAGUGGAGGAGAUAUCAUCUACGGAGUUGCACAUCAACAUACAGGAGGGACUGGAUGGCACUCCAUGGAGAGGUGCUCUAAGCUAUUAUAUUUUGUUUCUUUGGCUAUGUUUUCUUAUAUAUUUUUAAUUAUUUUUUGUACUUGGAUUUGCUAUAUUUGAGCCGAGAAUCUUUCAGAAACAAUCUCUCUAUCUCCACGAGGUAGUGGUAAGGCCUUCGUACACUCUAUCUUCUCAGACCCCACUUAUGGAGCUACACUGGGUAUGUUGGUGUUCUUGUUGAUGAUACUUGGAUUAUUAGUUGAGUUGCAUCUUAACACUGGAAAUGUAUGCCACAACUUGCAAGACCAGAUUGAUCGAAUCCAUAUCUAAUCUCAUUCUCAUAACAUAAAAAAAGAAGAAGUGUUGUUAGCAUUCAUUUGACACGAUUGUCAUACUUCAGAAGAUGGUGUUGAUUAUUUUCUUAAUUUCUUCUUAUCUGUUUCCGCUGCACUGGUCUAGGAUGGACGUGUCAUAUGCUCAUCUUUUCCAAUCUAUGGAGAAGGUUAGGAAAGGAACCAGGAAAUGAAGUUGGUUACAUUGUGUUGAAGAAGAAUGGGUAUUAUUCUCAUUCAUUGAUGUCCAAGUUGAUCGAAGAAAGAAAGGAAAUAAGUAUUGUCGGAAGAGCCCAUAUGAAUACACAUAUAUUGACAAAUAGCUUGUCUCCAGGCUCCACACGUGGCAACAUUAGAGCGAAUACUUUAUUCAUUGAUGGAUUAAAUCUUAACCAUCUGAUGAAACCCAAACAAAUAGCUAAUGUGGUCACGUAAGGAAAGUAUGCCUAUAGAAAAGAGAAUAUUUUCUGUUAUAGACUAGACCAAUAGUUUAGGAACAACCGUACAAAAUAUAUUUUCUUUCUUAUUUAUUUUCAGCAAAGCACUUGUAAAAAUACAAUCCCUUUGGGAAAUCAAUACACAAUGAAAUUUUAAAAAUCUUCUUUCAAUUUUCUAACAUGGUAUCAAAGCAAUAAGCUCAACCUAAAGAUUUCCUAUCAAUCAACAUGAGUGAUGAGACCCAAAUCAACAUUACCAAUGCUAGAAACACCAUCGACCCUGUCAACACGGGAUCUGGAAACAAAGUUGACAUCAAUCAUCAUUUUCACCUUCAACCUUCAGAUGCACCAGGGCAGACCCUAGUGAAUACCUCAUUUGAUGGAAGAGGUUUUCCUGGAUGUCGAAGAUCUGUCCUCAUAGAUCUCUCAGCUAAGAAUAAGCUGGGUUUUAUCAAUGGAUCCAUCACACCACCAGAUCUGAAUACAUCAAACUACCAACAGUGGAGUCGAUGCAAUCAUAUGGUUACUUUUUGGCUUCUGAAUUCUGUCUCCAAAGAUAUAGAAGGCAAUGCAAUCUGCUCCAAAACAUCUAGAGAUAUGUGGAUGAGUCUUGAGCAUAGGCUUGGGAAAACAAGUGGAGCUAAGUUGUUUCAUCUACAAAAAGAGAUCAUAGGAUCAGUACAAGGUACACUUGAUAUUUCUACAUAUUUUACUAGGCUCAAACGUCUAUGGGAUGAGCUAGAUUCGCUGAAUGCGGAUGUAGUGUGCACUUGUGUUUGUAUAUGUGAAGGGCAAAAAAAAUUAACCAAAUCGCUGCAGGAUCAAAGACUUGUGCAAUUUUUAAUGGGUUUGACUGAUGUGUAUUCCAAUGUUAGGAGUAUCAUACUCAUGUCAAACUAUCUUCCCACACUUGAUUAUACUUGUUAUCUAUUGCUACAAGAUGAGAAUCAAAGGGAAGUGUUUGCUAAUGCUCAUUUUCCUAGUGAGACUGUUUCAGUCAUGGUAGGUAUAACUGCAAGUCCUAUACAGAAGCAAGGGAAACAAGCUCAAAGGAAUGUUUUCCCAUUGCAGAGGCAAAAAGGAAACCAAUUCAGAAAUAAAGGAAGAAAGACAAAAUUUAACCCUGAUGUGACCUGCAAUCACUGCAUUAAGAUAGGGCAUAUAAAAGAAGAUUGUCACAGGUUGAUAGGGUAUCCUGAUGAUUUUUAAUUUACCAACAAUAGAGAAUUUCAGGGAACACCUAAGGGAAACACAACAAUGAUAAGAGAAGUUUUUGAGGAAAGUGACACUACACAAAUUCAGAGUAACUGGAAGGAAGGAGGGCAACAAUUCAACAAGGCGCAAAUAACACAAAUCAAAAACAUGAUGAAGGAAGAAAUGGGACAUGGAACAACUCCUGAAUCAGAAAUUAAUGCUAAUGUUGUUGCUGGUACUAUUCUUAAGUACUCUGGUUCUUGUUUUAAGAUUGUGGACUCGGAGCUUCUGAGCAUAUGUGUUAUGAUUCCAACUCUUUCCUAUUUUUUAACUCCUCUUAUUGUUCCUUUGAGUAUCAGUCUUCCAAACUUUUUAAAAAUAAAUGUCACACACAUAGGUAGUGUUUCUUUUAAAUCUCAACUCACUCUUAAGAAUGUUCUUUAUGUCCCAGAUUUCAAAUAUAAUUUGUUGUUUACUCACAAAUUAUGUUGCCAAUUUCAUUGCACUUCUUAUUUUAAUUCUAGUGGGUGUAUGUUGCAGUCCCCUUUUAUGAAGAGGGCACAAGCUUUUGGUAAAGUGAAGGAAAAAGUUUAUAUGUUUUGGAGCAGAGAAGUGAUCAAUCUAAGAAGUCUUCUAGUGAUAAUAGCUUUUCUUUCAAAAAAACUCAGUCAUGACAGUCCCGUUUCUAGCUCAAAUCUAGAGUCAGUUCCAAUGUAUGCAAAUGCUAUUUCUAAUGCACAACUCUGGCAUUGUAGAUUGGGACAUCUCUCUUUUUCAGUAAUGAAAAGUUUUUGUUUCAUUGAUUUUUCUUCAAAUUCUGAUCAUGUGUGUGAUGUAUGUUCUAAAGUUAAACAAACUAGACUUCAUUUUCCCCUUAGUAGUAUCAAAUGUAAAGGAAUAUUUGAUUUGAUUCACAUUGAUACAUGGGUCCUUACAAGUCCUGUACUCACAAUGGUUAUAAGUACUUCUUGACUAUAGUAGAAGCACUUGGACUUUUCUUUUGACAACUAAAAGUAAUGUCUUCUUUGUUCUCAAAUCCUUCUUAUGUAUGGUGGGCUCAUCAGUCUCUCUUUUGUUCCCUCUCAACACCAGCUUGCCGAUCUUUUCACCAAAGCUCUCUCUGGUGCACCACAUUGUGAUCUACUGUGCAAGUUGGGGGUUUCAUCCACCCCCUCCAACUUGAGGGUGAUGUUGAAGAAGAAUGAGUAUUAUCCUCAUUCAUUGAUGCCCAAGCUGAUCGAAGAAAAAAUGGAAAGAAGUAUUGUCGGAAGAACCUACGUGAAUACACAAAUAUUGACAAAGAGCUUGUCUUCAGUUCCACACGUGGCAGCAUUAGAGAGGAUACUUUAUUCAUUGAUGGAUUAAAUCUUUACCAUCUGAUGAAACCCAAAUAAAUAGCUAAUGUGGUCACGUAAGGAAAGUAUGCCUAUAGAAAGGAUAAUAUUUUCUGUUAUACACUAGACCAAUAGUUUAGGAACAACUGUACAAAAUAUAUUUUCUUCCUUAUUUAUUUUCAGCUAAGCACUUGUAUAAAUACACUCCCUUUGGGAAAUCAAUACACAGUGAAAAUUCUGGAAAUCUUCUUUCAAUUUUCUAACACAUUGUCGGGAUGUCUAGUUGUUAUCCUAGACCUGACUCUAUCAAGAUUUCAGAAGGAGAGACUGUAACUUUACUAUCAAAUAUAGCAAUGCCCAGAGUAUACAUGAGUGAUGGGGUUGUUCUAUCUCUUUGUUGUUGAACCAUCAUCGAAACGUAACUCUAUUCUUAGUGUAUACUUGUUAUGCUGUAAUUUUACUAACUUUAGAAAAAUCACAUUUUGAAAUGUUCUAAGUAUAAAACAAUUUGAAAAACGCCACUUAAUUUUUUUUAAAGAAAUUAAGAAAACUUAAUUUAAAAAGACUCUAACAGAUUAAAUCUUUAUAAAUUUAGAGAAAAUGGGUAAGAGGUUCUUAUUUACGCUUCAAGAAGGUUUUUAAGGCAUUUGAAGCGCCCACUAACAUGCGGUUAUCCUACGACUUGGUUAAAAUAUAUUUGACUAUUUUUUAGGAAAAUGAUUUGACUUACAAACUAAUAAUUUACAAUAUUUGAUUUAACUUUGAAAAAAUAAUUAAAUAAAGGACACAUUUUAUUUUAUUUUUAAGGAAAGGGACCUAAAUUGAAACGUUUGAAUCUAAUUACAAGUGAUUGGAACUUUAACAAAACUAGAUUAAUUAGAAUUUUUUAUUUUUUUGAAUCAUUUUAAAAAAUAAUAAUUUGAACUAAAUUAGUUAAUUUAAGCAUGAAACUAUUUUUAAUUAAUUAAAAAAAAUAAGUUUUGACUAAUGAUGUUAAAUAAAAGUAUGAGAGUUGAUAAAAAAUGAGUUAUAUUAAAAUGUACUAACAUAAAAAAUAUAGUUCAUCUUUUGGGGAAUUUAAUUAAGCUAACCUUAAAAUUAAUUAUCAAAUAAGCAAGUAAGAGUAAGACAAAUUAAUAAAUUCAAAUAGAGAGUGAGGGAGGAAGAUUUGGGCCUUUCUGAUCUUGGGCUUUUGCCCCAUUUCCCUGUCCUAAACUAUUAUAAAGGCUGCCCAAAAAUCAGAUGGGCUUUGGCCCAUCUUCCAAAAAAAAAAAAGCUGCCUGAAUUUUCUUGGGGCUUUUGGGCCCAUUUCUGAUUUUUGUAUACAGACCGUAUACUGUCCGUAUAUCAGUGUAUAUAACUCCAUUUUUAACUAUCGAGACUUGUAUUUUUCGUCUUCGACCUGUAUAUCCGCAGUUUGGAUCUAUAUUUCAGUACCUCAACCUAUAUAUCAGUGUAUAAAUAUUGUAUACAACAUGAUACAACCCAUUUCUUGGGCUUUUAAACAUUUCUAAACUAAUUUCCAGCAGUUUGUUGGGCCUCCGGGAUCUGUAACGGCUUCCAAAUACAUAGGGGGGCUGACUCGAGAAAUAGGGAAAGCAAAGAUCGAGCCUUUAUGGCUCAACUCGGAAAUGUAAGGUAGAUAAGUCCACCAUGGACUCGAAAGGGGGUCCAUACAAGAAACGAAAGAAAGAACAAAAUUAGUAUGUGAGACGAAGAAGCAAAUGAAGCAUAAUUCAAUUGAAGUAAAGAGCAACUCAAGCACUUUAAAAAAAAUGCAACCAAAGCUACCAUAGGACAAAUGAAUACUACUGUAUCAAAGGAAAAAAAAACUCACUCUUCAUCUAUGACUUAACAGUGCAUGAAGGAAAUCAAAGCAUGAUAGGAAGUAAUGUAUUUAACACUAGACUAUCACAAUCUACGCAUAAGGAAAUUUCAAGGCAUAUGUAUACACACACAAGAAUAAAGUUUAUAAGCGAGUGAAAAUGGAUGUAAUAAAAGCAGCUCACAAUAUGGUAAACAAAUAGUUAGUAAUUAACAUAAUUAUGUAUAAAAGAGAGAGGGAGCAGGCUAACGAACAAUCAAACUAUGCAUCUACCAAUAAAUAAAGCCACCUAUCGCAGAGGUAUCAUAAAUCAAAGAUAUGGAGUAAGGUAAUUUUGUUUAUUUGGAAAUAGAAGCCACCAAACAUGACAAUCGAACUGCGAGGAAAAUAACACCAAAGAUUCAAGUUUAAUCAUCCUAAGGACCAAACUCUAGCCAACUAAGAUAUAAGAGACUUAAAUGGGGAUAUACAUACAUGAAAAGAGAGCAAAUUACUACGCUAAGUAUUCCUAAGGAUAUGUAUCGGGACAACGAGAUCAUGAUGAGAUAUUAGAACAUUUUAAGCAAAAUCAAAUCCGAAGCGGGGCGACAUUUGAGUAAAAAAUGAAAAUGGCAUUGUCAAACACUAGAUCUUCCUAUCAUGGCAAAUAAAGACAACCUCAUUCAAGUAUAAUACUUCUAAACACAUAAAGAUUAAGCACAUGCAAGGAAAAUACCUCGAAAUGAACCCACGAUAAUUUUGACAUGCACUAAAAGACUAGAAAAGUUAUAAACCCAUACCGGUUUAAUUAAACUAAAAAAAAAAAACUGAACACAUUUUGCUAAGAAGAGAGUGUACCAUACAAAUUACAUAUAUUGUUAAAUCAAGGCUACUCUCUUUAUUAGAGAUUAACAACACCAAGUAGUGAACAAGAAACAUAGCAAAGCAAAUUCACUACGAAACUUCUGUAAUCAUUUUUGACAAACAGAGAAGCAGUAAAGAUGAACUACAUGGACGACAUAGAUUAGGCAAAUAACAGAUGCUAAAAAAUGGUCCAAGCCAAAGCCAAAAUCUUAUCCCAUGAACUUGAACACACACGGGAUGCUUACAAUCCAUUAAACAACUAACCAAGCAUGUUGGUGGAACAAAAUCUAAUUUGUGAAUACUUAACAGAAAGCUAGUACACCAUUUCAGAAAUGAAUAAGUAAAUGACAUAUCAAGCUCAAAAAGAAGCCGACAUAAUUAAAAUUGAAAACUUCAAAAGAUAAAAAUACGAGAGGAAGAGGAAACUUGAUAAAGGGAAAUAGAUUACCUUUUCGGGGGCAGCGAGACUAGGACAAAUGAGCUGAGAACAACGACUCUUCUACUAUGAAAUCUAUAUACGAACAACACGCUAAGAAACUCCGAGCGUCGAUCUUCUCAGAGCUUAGAAUCAGAAAGCUAGAUAUGGAAUUCUUAAGUGUAAAAUGUCUAUGGCUCAAAAACCAAGCUCAAAACCCGUGUCCUAAUCACUGAGAGUAGGGGGUUAUUUAUAAGGAAAGUUGGGGUGAUUUGGGGGGGGGGAAUCCGUUCAGCAAAAUUCAAAACUUUUGAAUUUCUUUCUUCGUUUCCAAAGGGAACAAUGAAAGAGAUUUGAAGAUCUCUGAAAAUGGGGGAAAGGGAACAACGAUUUGAUCGAUUAGGUUGCUAGGGUUAUGGGUUUGCAAAUGGGUGACGUACGGGUUUUUUUGCAAAGAAGAAAAGGCGUGCGAUUCUGGGUUUCUUUCUUUGACUUUUUCGCGAAGAAAAUGCAGGGGUGGGGUCGGGUUUGGUACUGCUCGCGAUUUUCUGGGUUUGCAGCGUCCUGAUUUGCUUCGCGAGGAAGAAGAAAGGCGCGUGGAUCACGUCGCGUACUGCUGAUGGCAUUGGGUUGGUUUUUGGUACUGCUGUUGUGAGUAUUUGGGAGUUGUUGAUGAAUGUAAUGUGGGCUGCUGAUUUAAAUGGAAGUUGGGCUAAAAAUUGGCCCAAUUUUGGUCUUAAAUUGAUCCACUAAAUGGAGCAAAUAUUGGUUAAAAUUCAAUUUUGAAAAAUAACCAUAUAGAUUACAAAUUCGGCCGAGUGAAGUUAAGGACAUAGUCGAUUUGAAUUAGUUGAGGAAUUCGACUAAGGUCAAAUAAGAUGAAUUAAUAUAAAUUAAUUAAUGAGCUUCUUAAUCUUAACCAGAUAAAAUAAUCAAUUUUAAAAUAUUAACUAUUAAUUAAUUAAACUAAUUGGCAAAAUUUAAAGCAAAACUAAAACCUUUUGAGACGAUUUUCAAAUAAAAAUAUACUAAUUAUAUACAUAACUAUAAAAACAUAUUUAUUAUAUUUAAAAAUUAUAAAAUUGACAAAACUUACAUAAAAAUAAUUCGAAAAAUAUUUCGAAUUUCAUAAAAGCUAAUUAAUUCAAAAGUAUAGCUAUCACUUUAAAACACACUAAAAAUAUAAAAUCUUUUGAGAUGAUUUUCGAAUAUUUAUAGGAUAUACUUAUUUCAUACAUAAUAAUAUAAAACAUAUAUAUUAUUAAAAAUUAUAAAAAGUGAUAGACUAUUUAAAAACUUGCAAAAAUAUUUUUAUUUUAUUUUUUAAAAAUUUAUGAAACUAAUUAUUUUAAAUAAUUUGAAAUUAAAGAGGCUCGAUGAUUAAUCUAUAAUGUAGAGUUCCAGGGUGUCAACAAUACUGAUAUGAGGUUCUCUCCAUUUGGUGACUGUGCUCUCCUGUGUAGUACACAAUGCAAGUUAUGAUCUCUCUUCUUUUUGGACAUGUGUGUUGCACUUGUAUGUCAAUUUACUGAAUUACAUAAUUUUGUCAAUAUUAUUAAAAUAAAACUUUGAGUAAAUGAUGAUAUAUAUUAUGCAUAAGAAUAAAGUACUAAGUGUUUGUGAAUGACAUAUCUUUGGAUCUUUGAAUAGUGACAUGCUUGUCAAUGUUAAGAUGAUGAGAAAUUAUCCGAAUUUACGUAAGGAUGACUCUAGAAAAAACUACAACAUAGUAAGGCACGCAGGAGGAUGAGAAAGAUACACACAUAUAUAUAUAUACACACGCGCGCGCGCGCACACACACACACAUAUAUAUAUUGUGGUUCUUUGCUCUCUAUCUUCGGCCAUGCACCCCAUAUAAGUAGUGUCGCCACAACUUAAGAACAAAGACCACGACCGUCAACUCCAAGUCAUGAGUAAGGUAGUUCUUCUCAUGGGUCUUCAACUGCCUGGAAGUAUAGUCAAUCACUUCCCCUUUUGCAUCAAAACACCACCCAAGUCGACACCUGAAGCAUCACAAUAUACGAUAAAGCCCACACCCUCUUUUGGUAGAGUCAAAACAAGUGCCAAAGUCAACAAGGUCUUGAGGUUUAAAAAGCUCUCAUCACACUCAUCAAACCACUGAAAACCCACACUCUACUAAGUCAAUCUGGUGAGUGGGGUUGCAAUAGUAUAGAAACCCUAUACAAAUUGUAUGUAGUAGCCUACCAACCUAAUAAACUACGAAUCUUAGUCGGAGAACUAGGCAUCGUUCAACCUCUCACCGCCUCAAUCUUGGCUGGAUCCACUCAGUACCCUUAUUGGACACCACACGUCCCAAGAAUGCCGCUGAAUUAAGCUAGAACUCACACUUUGAAAAUUUUGCAUACAACUUCUCCUCUCUCAACCUCUAAAGCACUAUCUUCAAAUGGAAAACAUGAUCCUUCUCAAUGUUGGAGUACACCAAAAUGACAUCUAUGAAUACAAUCGCAAAAGAAUCCAUAUAAGGUUAAAACACCCCGUUCUUCAACUCCAUGAACACUUCAGGAGCAUUAGUCAACCCAAAGGACAUCACCAAGAACCCAUAAUGGCCAUAUCGGGUUCGGAAAGUUGUCUUAGGGACAUCUGAUGCCCUAAUCCUCAACUGAUGGUAACUGGACCUUAAGUCUAUCUUAGAGAACAACCAGACCUCAAGUCUAUCUUAGAGAACAAAGUUGCUCCCUAAAGUUGAUCAAGCAAAUCAUCAAUGCACGGAAGAGGAUACUCGUUCUUCACCAUCACCUUGUUCAGUUGUCUAUAAUCGAGGCACAUUCUCAUAGACCCAUCAUUCUUCUAAACAAACAAGACCGGUGCACCCCAAGGUGACACACUAGGACGAAUGAACCUCUUACUCAAUAAAUCCGACAACUGCUCCUUCAACACUCUUGGGGCCAUGGGAUAAGGAGGAAUAGAGAUAGGCUUAGUGCCUGGCUCCAAAUCAAAAGCAAAAUCAAUGUCCUUAUCAAGAGGAACAUAUGGAAUAUUAGUAGGGAAUACAUCUGGAAACUCCUGAACCACGAGAAUGGACUCCAUGGGAGGUGACUUAACACUAGUAUCCAGGAUAAAAACCAAGUAGGAUAAACACCCUCUAUCCACCAAUCUCUAAGCACGUAGGAAUGAGAUAACCUUGCUAGGGUAAGAACCACUAGCACCUUCCACUCAAUCCUCGGAACACCAAGCAUCACUAAGGUCACAAUCUUAGCAUUACAAUCAAGAAUAACAUACUAAGGAGAGAGUCAAUCCAUACCCAAGAUAAAACUGCCAGUAAUUUAAUCUUCUCGAAUGCCCUUUUCACGAACGUGGUCCUUUAGGCGAUUAACCCACCGCAAACGCGGGAGUUUAUCAACUAAUGCGGAGGAAACACUCCUUAGUCUCCACGAACGUGGUCAAUCCCCACAAAUGCAGAGGACACCAGACAUCAACAACAUUAACAAUUCCCACAAGACACAAAAUUCACAGAAUGAAAGCCUUGGGAUUUGUUUAGAACAACAAAUUAGGUACACUACUCGACUAUAUUAAUGUUUCGGACUCAAUGGAACCACCGAAUCACCGAUUUGAGGUUUUCUUGACUCGAAACCUGUGAAAGUCGCAAUAAACUAACUAAACACUCAAAAAUACCAAACUGCCCUCGAAACCUCCAAAAAAUCAACCAAGACCACAACUAGGUCUAAAUCAUCCUCCGAAUCUAAUGAAAUCUUUGGAAAUCCAAUCUGAGCGUCCGAACUCCGAAUGUUGAUCAAAGUCAACUCAUGGUCCAAAAUCACUUAAAUUUCUAACUCAAAGGCUCAAAUCCACAUAACAACCCUAAAAUAGAGAACAACAACAGUCCUUAACCAAAUUCCACAUUACGGAAUUGAUGGAAUUUCAUUCCGAGGCUUGAAACUCUGGUUGUUACCAAAAAUCACUUUUAACAACUUUGAACAUUCCAAAACUCAAAACUCCCAAAAAUCACAACUUUUCAUUUAAAUAACAAAACCAACUUUGAAAACUGAUCUAAUGUGACUCUGAGCAUUUAUCGGGAGGGCUAAAAUGGUAAUUUUCCAAAAAUUUCCAAAAAUGACUUUCAGGGUCAUUAUAAUUACACAAUAGGACAUGUGCAAAUCAUGUUGUAGAUGUGAAGCUUAGUUGUUUGGUUUGAGGGCAUGUCACUAUCAUGAGAGUGUGAAUUGGUCCUCUAAUCAUUUAUUAUUUCCCUGAAAUCCCAUCUCCUUUUGAGUUGCCUAUGUCUCCCGUCUCCACACUCUUUGUGCUUAAAUUUGUGGGUCGUUAAUUGGUUGUGUAUACUAGCAUCAAGUGAAGUUAGAAAGAGAAAAAAAAUGUCACCCUCUUCAAAUUACCAGUUGUUUUCACUUGUCUCCAUCUUACUGCUAAUAACAGUUGAUCAAAGUUCACAAUCUCAAGCAACACAAGAAAACGGUGUGAAAGUUGGUGUCUUUCUAUCACCAGCGUUUGUGCUGGAACCUGGAUCUGUCUCUAACAAGUUUUACUACAACAUUGGCUUCCCAAAAGGCCAUAUUGCUAUUAAAAGUUUUGAUGCUGAAGUAGUUGAUGAGGCAGGGAAUUCGGUACCCCUUUACGAGACAUAUCUUCACCAUUGGGUUGUUUCAAGAUAUUUUAAUCGAAAAGGUGUAGAAGUAGCAAAGUACCAUUAUGAUUUGGGGUACGACCAAUCAGAUUCUAUUAUUAAGAGUAACUCAGGGAUAUGUGGUGGAGUCCUUAAUACUGUAUAUUUUGGUGUUGGUCCAGAGACCCGAAAAACAAUCAUCUAUAUUCCAGACCCUUAUAGAAUAGAAGUCGGUAAUCCAGUCGAAGUACCUCCUAGAUACGAGGAGAAACGGAUGCUCAAUUUACAUGCAAUUGAUACACGAGGCGCUGAAGAUAGACUGGGAUGCACUGAAUGCAGGUGUGAUCUUUAUAAUGUUACGAAGGACGAGAACAACCGAGAUAUAGAGCCAGAUUACAUCGGAGGCUCGAGAUGUUGUUACAAUGGAACAAGAUGCAAGGUGAAAGACGGAUUCCAAGGAUCAAAGAGAAACCUGUACCUGAAGUACACAGUGAAGUAUAUUGAUUGGGAUGCCUCUAUUGUGCCUGUAAAUAUAUAUUUACUUGAUAUCACUGAUACAUGGAAAAAGCAAGAAAAAUCGAAUGCCACUGUGGCAAGACAUCACUGUAAGGUAUGUGCAGUUCCCUAUGAUAAUUACAAGAACGAAUGAUAAAUCAAAUCAUUUUUAGCUCUUUGCUACUACCUAAAUGUAUAUGGUUAAUAUUCAUGCAAUUUCCUUUACUUCAGAUCAAAUAUUUAGUGGAGUCAUGUGCGGCAUCUGUUGCAAAUGUUGAUUGCACUCAUACAAAGAAGAUAAGCACAAUAUUUCCUAGUGGCGGAGAUCUCAUCUAUGGAGUUGCUCAUCAACAUAUAGGAGGGACUGGGAUGGCACUCCAUGGAGAGGUACUCUGAGCUAUUAUAUUUUGUUUCUUUGGUCAUGUUCUGCUUACAAUCUUAUACAUUUUCAGACAAUGUAUAAAACAAAGAUUUUUGUACAAAAAACUUUUUCUUUUAAUCAACAUCAAGUGUUUAUCGUGUUUUUAUUAUAUCACUAUUUUGUGUUUUAGUUCCUCUCUUGUGGGAUUUGCAUUGCUUCCCUUGUUAUUGGCUAUGUUUUCUUUUUAUUUUUAUUUUUUUGUACUUGGAUUUGCUAUCCUUGAGCCAAGGGUCGAGAAAUAACCUCUCUACCUCCACAAGGUUGUGGUAGUGUCUGGAUACACUCUAAUCCUCCCCAAGUGGGACUACACUGGUGAUGUUGUUGUUGAUACAUAACACUGGUUAUGUAUGCCACAACUUGCAAGACCAGAUUGAUCGAAUCCAUAUCUAAUCUCGUUCUCUUAACAUCAGAUAAAAGAAGUGUUGUUAGCAUUUAUUUGACAUGAUUAUUUUCUUAAUUUUUUCUUCUUUGUUUCCGCUGCACUGGUCUAGGAGGGACAUGUCAUAUGCUCAUCUCUUCCAAUCUAUGGGAAAGGAAAGGAACCAGGAUAUGAAGCUGGUUACAUUGUCGGGAUGUCUAGUUUUUAUCCUAGACCUGGCUCUAUCAAGAUUUCAGAAGGGGAGACUAUAACUUUACUAUCGAACUACAGCAAUGAUCAGAGGCAAACUGGAGUGUUGGGGUUGUUCUAUCUCUUAGUUGCUGAACCAUCACCGAAACCUAACUCUAUCCUACAUUCCGCAGAUGGAGUAAGAUCUUUGACUCAUUAAAAAUUUUCCUACUUAAGUCUAAACAAGAUCAUAUUUUCUGAACUUGUUUCUUCUUCACUACUACAGACAGGUGCGAUUGUAAUAAUGCAGAAUGUUAUUGGAGCCUUGGAAGUGUUUGGAAUUGCACUACUUGUUGGUGCUGCUGUUAUUUAUCAACGUCGGAAUAAAAGGGAUCAGGAAGGCUAUUAGUCUAUACUGACCCGAGGUUCUCUCCAAUUGGUGACUUUGGUCCCUAGUAUGUCGGAAUAAAAGGAAUCAGGAAAGCUAUGAGUCUAUACUUAAGUCUAAAAAGGAUCAUAUAUCUCCCUUCUUUUUGUACACUUAUGUUGUACUUUUAUGUCAAGUUACUGAAUUACAUGAUUUUGCAAUAUAAUAUAAAUACGGCAAGAAUAGGUCUGUAACAAGGUGAUUAAAGACUAUUAUGAGUAUUUAAUCAAGUCUAAGUAUUUAAUCGCAAAAAAUAUAUUAAAAGCAAUUAGCAAGAUAUCAAGGAAUGAAUCUAGACAAUAAUAUGAAUACUUCUUUUUGAGAUACUAUAUUCAUUUUUCCCUCAAAGUCUCGACGGUAAUUAAAAUGUACUCAAUUUUAGGCUUCAGAAAAUUGAAUCAUUUCAACAGACCAGUGGUUAGUUGCUAACAACAUCCUAUCCUUACAAGGUGGGUUUAUGGACAAGAGGUGAAAUAAUAUCCCUUAGCUCUUCCAACGCUCGGGCAUUCUUGUCAGUGAAACUGUUAAGAGAUCCCCAUUUCUGCUCCAAAUCCGCAGCAAACUUUGGACUAACAACACAGAGAGUGUUGUACAGGUCUUUUAUGUUAUUCUGGAAUGGAGUUCCAGAAAAAAGUAUGUGUUUCUCUAUUUUAACCUUUCUCAAAGCUUUCCACACAAGACUCUGCUCAUUCCAACUAUUGUGCCCUUCUUCAAAGACUAGAAGACCAGGAAAUUUUAGAAGUAUUUCUCUAGUCUCUUUGUCAUAACCCUCUCCAUCUUCUUCCGUGAGAAUCCUGAACAAGUCAUAACUGAUUCCCAAAAUACUCUUACUUUUCGUCCAGGAUUUCAGCUUCACCAUGCGUAUAAGGUGUGGAUUUGUUUUCAUAGCAGGGGAUAAACAGUGAAAAACACCAACAGUAUCUUCAUCUUCCUUUAAAGAGAAGUCCUUAUUGUUCAAGUUGUGGAAGGGAAUAUCCACCGCCCAUUUCUGGAACUCGGCUUCCCAGUAAAGAAACAAAUUAGAUGGUGCCAUGAUUACAGGCGACACUCUGGGAACAGCUUCAGAAAUGACUGAAGAAAUUAUAUGGUGAGUCGGGUUUUCCGGUGCCAGGUAAGUGUGAUAUAACGCAUCCUCCCUUACUCUAAGAUAGGGGCUCUCUCAGCCUCUCAAGACUUAUAUCUCCAGCAAUGUUGUUCCACAUGAACUCAAAUCCUUCACGUUGAUGAGGAUAUGAUGGAAUGUAUGCGUCCACUAAUAAUAACAAGACGAGGUCCUUUAGCACAGUUAAGAUACAGAAAAGUAAAUACUGGAAGUAAAGAAAACACGCGAUACUUUACGUGGAAACCUCCUUGCUCAAGGGAGUAAAACCACGACCUGUCACACAAGAUUUUCAACUGCUUUCACUAAUCUUUUCAAGCAAAAGUGAAACACAGAUUACAACCACACGAUGAGAUUAACUUCUUAAUUUCAACACUAAGUAAUACAACCUAUUACUUACUGAGCCUAAACAAUGCAUCCAUUGCCCACUAUAUUAACCUUCACUGAUUAAUAUAGACUUUUGACCGUAAGACACAAAGUUAACCUUAAUGAUGUUCUUACAAUGAAUCACACAAGGUUUUUUAAAUGUUUCUAUCAAGAGUGAAACGAAUCCUACAAGAUAAACACAAAUACAAGCAAUCAAAAUAACAACAGGUUCAGGAAGAAAUUCUUCAGUCGAUUAGGUCCCUUGUUGUUUUGUUUGAAGCUUGAUUUUUCUCUCUUUGAAUGAAUGAUUUGUUAGUUGUUUGUUUCUUUGAUUAUAUCAAACCAAAAAGAAUUAUUGACCAUUGGAAAAACAACCUCGUCCGUUCCUAUUGGUUAUGUACGCUGACGACUUCACCAACCUCUGACAAUGACAUCUUUCCAGCUGUACAACAUAUUGCCCUGGACGAGAAAACUCUGCAGAGGACCGAGUCCCUGCAUUUGUGAGGAUAAUUAAAACAUCUGAAAACCUAUCAGGAUACGUUGUCGCUUUUGCAAUUUGAGGAACUAAAUCCCACACGGUUCCUUCUAUGUAAAUAGGAGAAUCCUGGGCUGCAGAAAAAUCAGAAACUCUAAAGCUGUCAACAUCAAAGACGGAUGGCGACUCUCCAAAAUAUUUUCUUUCGUACCUGUAAUGACCUGGAAAACUAGUAAGUGAAACUAGAGCCUAACGAGUUUUGUUUUGAGUUUAACAUGAGGUUUUGAGUUGUUAAAUGAUGUCCCGAGCUUAGGUUGAGGGGUUAAACGUCAAGGUAUGACUCCCCAACGACCACCCAAGGUCCUUGAGGAGGACCCUAAAUCCUAACCCCCAAGACCCCAAGAAACCAAAAAGCUGCCAAAACAAUGGUGAACUACGGAUGGGACCUACACCCCGUAGGUCCAUUCACGCCUUGUGGAUGGCCUCCGUGGGUCAAGGUCCCUAAAUGUAAGUUGUAGCCACGAACCACGGCUUGCCAGUACGGCCCGUGGACCCACCCACGAUCUAUGGGUGGGGUUCAUGAGUCACCACUGUAGAAAACUGUCUAGAAUCAGCCAAUAAGAGGGUGUUUUGGUAAAUUCCUUUUUAAGUUAGUUGAGUUAAUGGACGGUUAUUAUUGAUUAAUUAAGGUAUUUUAAGGCUUUUAAAGGUAUUAAAACUCCUUUUUCCAAUUCAUUCUUCCAAAACACAAAUUAGAACCCACAUCUCCUCUUCAAAUAUCCUCUCUCUAGAAACCACCAUUAGAGAAGGAGUCAAGCUUUCAAGCUCAAGAUCUCACCAUUCUCACUCAAAUUUCGUGGAGUUCUUCCCUAAAGGUAUGGUAGUCUUCAUCCUUGAUUAACUUUCAUUCAAGGAGCCCUAUCAAAAGGUGAUUUCAAGUUUCUAAAAUCCCCAAAAAAAACCUAGGGUUUUCAAUCUAUGCAUGUGUUCAAUUCCAAAACGUUUUCAAAGGUUCAUAUAUGAUGAUUUAUGAUGGAACUGUUGAAUUAAUGGUGAAUUAUGAUGAUUUAUCCUAUGAACCCAUGUUUCCCCCAAAAUUCUAAAUUUGGAAGUAUGUGAAUUGGGUUGAUUGAUCAUGAAUGUAUGUUGAAUUGUUUAUGUUUAUAUUGAAUUAGUUAUUGAAUCAUGUUAAUUCCCUUAUCUAAUGUAGUAUUCUAGAUGUUUGGGUUGAGGUUGAUUCAUAGCCUUGGAAGGCAAUUUCAUGAAGGAUGUAUGUAUGAUUAUGAUGUUAAGUAUAUGUGUGUGAUCUCAAUGAAAUUAGUAUGAUCAUGUUUAGAAUGUAGUUGUGUUAUGAUUGAAAGUAUAUUCUCAUUAAAACUCAUGAAUGAUGAUAACAGAAUGUGAAGGGUUUCUAUAAUGUAAUGUUAUAUCUUGAAUUAAUAGGCUUAUGCAUCCUCUUCUUGUAUAAAUGAAAGUAAUGUGGAUUGAUGUAUCUUGAAUUGGUAGGGUUAGGCAUCCUCUUCUUGUGUAAUGGAUGUGUCUUGACUUAAUGAAUAUGAAUCGAUAGGCCUAGGGCAUUCCUUUCAUAAAUGACUAAUGGAUGUGUCUCAACUUAAUGAAUAUGAAUCGAUAGGCCUAUGGGAUUCCUUUCAUAAAUGACUAAUGAAGUAUUGUAAGGCUUUGUCUUGAAUCGGUAUACCUAAUGUUGGUAGCCCUUACAUGAUGAGUCUAUGAUCUAUUCUAAUGAUGUAUCUUAGAUCGGUAGGCUAAUGGCACCCUUCCGUGCAUGUUAAUAAUGAAACUUGGGAUCGGUAGGCUUAUGGCACCCUUCCAUAAAUGAUGUUAAUGAACUUUGGGAUCGGUAGGCUUAUGACACCCUUUCAUGAAUGUUGAUGAUAAACCUUGAAUCGGUAGACCCUAGUGUUGGUAGCCCUUUCAUGUGUGAAAUGAUAAAACUUGAAUCAGUAGGUUUAUGGCACCCUUUCAUGAGGAUUCAAUGAGCUUUCUUAUUAAUGUACCUUGAAUCAGUAAGCUUAUGACACCCUUUCAUGUGUCAAUCAAUGUACUUUGGGUCGGUAGGCCAAUGCCACCCUCUCAUGUACAAUAAUGUUAAUGUGAAUGAACUACUCUAUGGGAAUGGAGGCUAAGCACCGAGUGGAUAUGGUAAUAUGGAAACUCUCCCCGUGUUAGGUCGGGUUCCAAUGAACAUCUUCCUAUCCCAUAACUAUGUGCCCACAUACGAUAUUAGCUAGUGGAUCCACUUAAGCUAAAAUGUUACCGAUUCUACCUUAGGCAAGUAGACCAACCCUUACGAUGUGGGAUAGUACAUCGGAUUCCAUGUUAAGCUCACAUGGUCUAUGUCAGUUAAACGCUUAUUCCCAUCAUGUGAGACGUUCUCUAUGGUUUCUUGAGAAGUUCUAUGAAGUGUGGGUGGUAGUAUGGGAUGCCAUUCAUGCAUUGCACUAGUAGGCUUAGAGAGGGUCAUAGUGAGUUCUCUAAUGUCUUCAUGACUAAUGAAUGAAAGUGCUCUAAAUGAAGCUAAUGAAGAAUGUUGACUUGUAUGCUUAAAUGUAAUGAUGCAUACUAUACUUGGAUGUAUUAUGAGUUACUUCCUUGUCAUGACUUAUGAAAUGUUUUUGUUCCUUAUGUAUGAGUAUGGUCUAAAGAUGAAAAGGAAGAAUGGUAAGUUCACUUUUGGUGGCCUUAAUGUGGUACUUAGUGUUGAUGGUGGUAUGUGACGCUAUUCAUACAUUGCACAAAGUAUAGCUUGGGGUUACUUAAGGUGAAGGUUUUAAAGUGAUGAAAUGACUUAUAUGUUGAUUAUGUUCUAAUGUGAUGAAAUGGCUUGUAUGUUGAUUAUGCUUGUAUCUUAUGCCUUUUAUGCAAAAGUUCAUGAAGUUUUCUCAAAUUGGCAUAAUGCAUGAUUUUCAAACCAAAUUCCCGUUUUAAAGCAUGAUUUUUGCAUGGCUAUCAUACUUAGUACAUUAUUUGUGCUAACCCAUAUUUCUUCCAUUUUUCUACGAAGUGUAGGGUUUGGACUUGAUGUUUUAUUCUUGGAAGAUAGGUUUCUAAGGUGCAAGGAGAUGAAGAUUUUGUGAGUCCUCAUAGUUUCGAGGAUGAACCCAUUAUUUCCCUUUAUGUCUUUUACUUUAUGUUUAGAGCUUUUGUAUGGGCUGUGUCCCAACGUUUUAAGUCUUAUGUUUCUAGAUGGUUUGAGACAAAGUAUAGAAAGAUUUUCGCUUGCUUUUAUGAAAAUGAUUUCGAUUGUAAAGAAAAGUUUUAAAUUCUGCACUAUUUCAUAUGCUCUUAUGUUCAUGAAUGCUAUGAGGCUUGUAUGAAACUUUUCGGAGUCUUGUACGCCGUGUUGCAUCUAGGGGUACCCCUGGGUCGUGACAGUACCUCCCUCGAGUUCUCUGAGACUGCAGAUGACACAUAAGUUCAAGAAUUUAAGAGUGAAUCAUAAAUAAAUUGGAGAGAGGAAAAAAAUCGUAUACUUACAAAAUCAGGGAAUAUGUACUUGCUUUCUAAAUGGACAUAUGAACAAACUGAACAGAUGAGUUCAAUUUGUUCAUCUAGAACAAGAUGGUGGUUCCCCAUCUGACAGUCACUUAGUUCACUCUGCAUCAGUGAAACAGAUGGAUUUGUAAAGCCAAUAUGCGAUUCUUCCAUACUCAUGUACAUUUCAACAAAAAUAUUGUCAAUCUCCUUUUCCCAAUCUUCUUUCUCCGGAUGAAGAGGUUCCUCGUCUUCAAAUUGGAAUAUUAAAGAAAGUGUUUCUUUGACAGAAAGAUAUUCCUUCUCGUCAGGAGGUAUGACUUUAUUAUGAUCAUUGACAUUUUUAUUGAAUCAAAAUAAACUUCAGAAACUCAGACUCUUCAAGAAUCUUCUUCCGAUUCUUUUGAAGAGCAUUAGUUGAAGAUUCGAAUUUUGACUCAGAAUAUGAGGUUGUAUCAGUAAACUCUUUGGAUUCGGCUACUUCCCUACACAUGCUUGAUGUAGAAGGAACAACCUGAUAUGUUGCAUUCAACGUCGAAGCAGCCUCCUCCCUAAUGAUAACAACUUCAGGAUCACUCCCCUCCUCCCUGAUGAUAACAACAUCAGGAUCACUCUCCUCCUCUUAGUUGCUGAACCAUCACCGAAGCCUAAUUCUAUCCUACAUUCUACAGAUGAAGUUAAAACUUUUACUCAUUAAAAGCUUUCGAGAUUCAGAGUAGUGAAUUUCCUACUUAAGUCUAAACAAGGUAUAUUUCUGAACUUGUUUCUUCUUCACUAUUGCAGACAGGUGAGAUUGUAAUAUUGCAGAAUGCUAUUGGAGCCUUGGCAGUGUUUGGAAUUGCACUACUUCUUGGUGCUGAUGUUAUUUAUCAAUGUCGGAAUCAAAGGGAUCAGGAAGGCUAUGAGUCUAUACUGAUGUGAGGUUCUUUUCCUUCUGGUGACUCUGGUCCCUAGUGUAGUGCACAAAAUGCAAGUUAUGAUCUCCCUUCUUUUCGUGGACUAGUUCCUCGACACAUGUGUUUCACUUGUAUGUCAAGUCAUGAAUUACAAGAUUUUGUAAAAUAAUAUCGAUAUUAUUAAAAUAAAACUUUGAGUGAAUGGUAGUACAAGUGCUUGUGAAUGAUCUAUCUUUUGAUCUUUGUAUAGUGACAUGUUUGUCAAUGUUAAGAAGUUGAAUAGUUAAUUAUCAUUUAAUUGGAUAGAUAUUAUCUAGCAAAAAUAUUCUUUAACUUAUAAGUAGGCUUCCUACUUCUAAAAGUAACUAAGCUCAAAUUUAAUUUUCAAUCUGAACAUCUCAAAAGCAAAACAAUUUGGUUAGUUGAUAUCUUACUUUUGGAGUGAAAUAGCAAGAAAGAAUUAAUUUAUUUCCAAGAGGUUACUGUUGCCGUGAAAUAACAAGAAAGAAUAAUUUAUUCCAAAGAUGUUACUUUGGCCUUUCUAAGUAUAAAAAUAAUAAAACAGAUCUUGAAUUCCGCUAAAUUAUUGAAUUAGGAUUAAAUAUAAUAAAGUCAAAAGCAGUUUUUAAAAGGGAAAAUUAUGCAACAACGCAAACAUGUGAUUUAUAUUUAUGAUAAACUAUUACAAUUUGUAGCUAUAUGUAGGGUUUUAUAGCAAAUUUCUCUCUCUCUAAAAAAAAGAAAUUCAUUUAAAUGUAUUAUGUAUCAAUUGUAUUCAAUCAAAUAUAGGUGAAUACUUUGUAUUUUAUAUGAAUUGUAUUCGAAAAACUAUUUUGUAAUUUGUAUCAAUUGUAUUCGUGAUACAACGAAUAUAAUAUGCAUUCAUACGAAUACAAUAUGCAUUCAUCCUCUCUUUAAAAUGUAUUAUGUAUCAAUUAUAUCCAAUCAAAUAUAGGUGAAAGAUUUGUAUUUUAUAUCAAUUGUAUUUGAAAAAUUAUAUUUGUGUUUUGUAUCAACUGUAUUUGUAUUAUGUAUUAAUUGUAUUCGUGAUGCAAUGAAUACAACAUGUAUUCAUCCCCUCUCCUCCCUCUCUCGAUUACACUCGUAUCUCUCUCAAUCUCGCUUGCCUCUCGCCUCCUAAUAAAUAUUCAUUUUGAUACUGUAUUUGUAUUUUUUUCUUCUCCGAAAUUCGUGAAAAAAUACAACGAAAAUACAAAUGUGUAGCAAACCAAAGUGUAGCUAAGGAAUCCUAUUUAAGGCCUAAUGUUUGUUAAUUAAGAAAAUUUUCUAGGGCAGUGUUUAGCACGGCACGUCAGGGUAGGGUAGAGUAGGGUAAUAUUUUGGAAAAUAGUAAACGGAGAAGGGUAGGGUGGUCAAAAUCUUAGCAGGUCAAGGCUUGCCCCUCCCUAUUGUCAUUCCUACGAGGGGGGCAACAACUUAUCUAAUCCUUUUUAGAAGAGUUUUGUGAUGCAAUUAAGCAAUCUGUAAUGGAAUUAGCUAAUCUAGGAGAUGACUCGAAGAAGAUGAUAGCCAAAUCAGGCUUAUAACCGAGAAUUGAGGUUGGAUUGAAUGUAGAAGAGUAAGAGAGAAUCAAAUAUUAUUUCAUGAAUGAAUCCAAUUAUAUCUAUUGGCUAUAUUUAUAGAAAUGAAACUAGUAGAUGAAAUCUGAAAAUCUAACUGCUAUAGUCUGACAACUGCAACUACUUCUAACUAACUUGCUACAUCACUUAACUAACUUCCCAACUCACCUAGGCUAGUUCAGUGUUAGACUUAUAUUAAUACCCCCUGCUGAAGAUGAUCCUUGACCUCAAGGAUGAAAUGGAGAGAAUAUGUGCUUCAACUCGGAUAUAAAUUCCCAAGUAGCCUGAUUAACAUCAAUACUAAACCAUUUUAGCAAGACUUGGCCAACAACUUUGUUACCCUUUGUCACUAACCUCCUUUCGAGGACAGCCUCAGGGUCAGGGCAAUAAGGAUUCGAGAGACGAAAGACUGAAGGAUGGUUGAUGACUAUUAGAACCUCAAGACAUCUCUUCAAUUGUGAAACAUGAAAUGUUGGAUAAAUAAGAACAUCAGAUGGCAUCAACAACCUUCCAAUUUUAGCAUCAAUAUGAUAAGGCUAAAAUAUUUAGCAGCCAGUUUAGGAGAUGUUCUCACAACAAUAAAAACUUGUCGAUAAGGCUGAAGCUUCAAGUAAAUCAUAUCUCCCACAACAAAGGACGUAUCAGACCUAUGUUUGUUAGUUGUAUACCUCAUCCUCUUUUGAGGUCUGAAAAUAUGGAAUUUCAACAACUAAAUAAUGGAUUCUCUAGCAACUGAAGAUCUGUCCACCAUAUCAAUAGCAACUUCACCAACCAAGUAAGGAAGAUGGAUACGAGGUUUCUGUCUAUAUAAAACCUCAUAAGGGGUACACUUGAGAGUGGUACACCAUUCAGCCAACGGAAAAUAGGAAGACCCCUCUUUAGGCUUAUCAGAGCAAAUGCACCUCAAGUAUGUUUCUAAUGUUCUGUUCCAUACUUCUGUCUGACCAUCAUUUUAUGGAUGGUAGGCAGUAGGCCUUUGUAAUAGAACACCUUGGAUGUUAAACAAUUUUUUGCCAAAAGGUACUAAGGAAUAUUGGAUCUCUAUCACUAAUCAAGGUGAUUGGCAUUCCAUAGAACUUAAAGAUACUAACAAGGAAGGACUGGGCUACUGAUUGAGCAGAGUAGGAAUGGGACAAAGCCGUGAAAUGCCCAUACUUGCUUAAUCUGUCCAUAACAAUCAAAAUAACUUCCUUACCAUUAGACUUAGGUAGGCCCUAAAAAAAGUCUAAACAAAUGUUAAUCCACACAACUGGAGAGGUUAUAAUAACCCUAGGUUUGUAGCAGCAUCAUAUUUAUGUCUCUGGCAUAUAUCACACCUAUUAAUGAAAUCUCAGAUAUCUUGGGAAAGAGAUUUCCAAUAGAAUAGUGACUAUAACCUCUUAAUGGUAACAUCCAUACCUGAGUGAGUGACCCCCCCGAGUAGAAUCAUGCCAAAGUUCAAUGAUAUUCCUCCUUAGGUUAGGAUCAAUACCAACCACCGGUCUUUCUUUCCACCUUAACUGGUUGUUAUGCCAAGUGAAAGAUUUAGAGGGAGCUGUUUAUACAUUAGCAAUUAUCUCCUGUAAAGAGUGAUAAGUAGUCCAAGAAGCCUUAAUGAUCCAGUAGAGAAUCAUGAGGAGUGAGCAAUGAAAAUGCCAACAGUUCAACAUUAAAUUUUCUUAAUAAAGCAUCAGUAACUUUGUUCUCAACCCCUUUCUUAUAUUCAAUACUGAAAUCAAAAUCCAUGAGCUUUGAGAUACAAGCCACCAGAAAAUCUGCAUGAAUAUGUUGAUGCAACAAAAACUUUAGUGCCUUCUGAUCAGUUUUGAUAAUAAAGUGUUUUCCCAACAAGUACUGAGACCACUUGGUGACAACAAAUAUGAGGGCUAACAGUUCCCUAUCAUAUACACACAAAGCUUGAUGUUUGGGAGAUAAGGACUUGCUAAUAUAAGCAAUGGGAUUCCCUUGCUGCAUUAACACAGCAAAUAGUUGAGCAUAAUCAGGUAUGGCUAGGACGGGAGCAAAAACCAAAGCCCCUUUUAGCACUUCAAAGGCACUAGUGACAAUAUUAGUCCAUACAAAUCUCUUUUUUAAGUAGAUCAUGUAGUGGUCUACAGAUAGAACCAAACCCUUUGAUAAAUCUUCUAGAGUACCCAGCUAAAUCAAGGAAUCCCCUUAAUUGUUUGAUUUACUAGGAAUAAGCCAUUGUUGAACUGUUGUAAUUUUCUUAAGAUCGUAGAAACCCUUCUCCACUAAUGAAAUGACCAAGAUAUACUACUUGAAGCACCCCAAAAGCACACUUAGACAUCUUGGCAUAAAGCUAAAACCUUUACAUCAACUCAAACACUGCCUUCACAUGCUCAACAUGAUCAAUCCAAAUUUUGCUUUAAAUCAAAAUAUCAUCAAAGAAGAAAAGUACUGACUUUCUUAGUAAUGGUUUGAACACAGAAUUUAUAAGACUUUGAAAAGAAGAUGAGGCAUUAGUUAAACCAAAGGGCAUAACUAGAAACUCAUAAUGGCCAUCAUGAGUCUUAAAUGUUGUCUUAUGAGUAUCUCAUUCAAACAUGCUCAAUUGGUGUAUCCCACUUUUAGGUCGAUUUUAGAGAACACCAUUGCCCUCCCAAUUCAUCCAAAAGAUCCUCUAUAAUAGGAAUAUGAAACUUAUCCUUGAUGGUCAAGUGAUUCAACUCUCUAUAAUCCACACAAAGUCUCCAAGUUCCAUCCUUCUUUCCCACCAAAACUACUGAGAAGCAUAUGGACUAGUGUUGUGUAGUAUCACUCGAUGGUCCAUCAUUUCUUGGACCGAUUUAUCUAUAGUGUCCUUAACUCAUGGAUAUUUGUAAGGCCUUUUAUUGACUGGACUAGAGGACUCCACCAAGGGUAUUCUGUGGUCAUAAUGACCUCUAUGUGGUGGUAGUGUGGUUGGAAUCUCAAAAAUACUUGCAAACUGUUCAAGUAGAUCAGUGAGAACAAAAGAAAUUACACUGCUUUGAUUAGUUUGGAGGUUGUAACACUGUACUUUAAAAUCUUCAGUGAUGAGAGACAUCACAUAGAACUGAGUGUCCUCUUCAUAAUUCUUAUCCAACAACUUGCUCUUGGUUAUUUUCAAAUGAUUAUAGUAGUCCCCCUCAAGAUAUGUUUCUUGCCUUGGUAUCUAAAAUCAAUAGUUCUAUUCCUGAAAUCAAACAAUAUCCUACCUAGAGUGUUUCAUCACUGCACUACUAGGACGAUAUCUACAUUUCCCCGGGGUAGAAGUAAAAAAUUAGAAGCAAAUGUAGUGCCCCGCAACAACCACUGCAGGUUCUUACAAACUGAUAUUGUUGUAACCUUCCGCCUAUCAACCACAGUUAUUGAUUGCUCCUAUAUAUAUAUAUAUAUAUAUAUAUUAGGUUGGCAUCCUAACUUCUUGGCCAUCUACUGGUCAAUGAAGUUGUGUGUACUUCCAAAUCAAUUAGAAUUUGCAAGGGUCUUUUCUCAUGGUAGCCAGUCACCCUGAUAGUUUGAUACCAAGUCUCACAUGUAAAGGCUUGAAGUGAUAUAGUCAUCAAUUCACCAGUCUCAAGUAUUACUUCUUGUUGUAACUCCUCAUAAUCUAAUUCAUCCACUAUUUCAUCUUCUAUUAUAUCAACCAUAUAAAGUUAUUUCUUGGAUACACACUUGUUCCCCACCACAUAUUUCUCAUCAUAACAAAAAAACAUAACCCUUUUGCUCAUUUUCAUUCAUUUCUGAAGAUGUUAACCUCCUACAAGUAUUAGUUUCAUUGAAUUUAGGAUUUUUAUCGGCUUGCAACUCAUGAACCUUUCUAACUGUAGAAUUUUGUCCAGAUGCUCUAAGAGGAAUAGGUAGUCUAGAAUAAGACGGAGCAGUCAAGAUAGUACCCUUUAGUUUUCCUCUAAUCUUCAGACCACAAAUUGGGCCUGGCUUCAAAUAUUCUUCCUGCAGCCUUGCAAGCUUGUAAGCCUACAUCAGAGUUCUUGGUUACUGAAGUCUUAUGGACUUAUUCAACUUAGGUUUUAUACCUCCGGGCUCCCAAGAAACAACUGAUGGUGUUUUCAGUUGACAAGUUCACAGUUGCCAACAAUCUAUCAAACUCAGCUUGGUACUCUUUCACACAUUCUGUUUGAGUUAGAUUCAUAAUUGCUUCUAUAGAAUCCUCAAACCCUUCCCCAAAUCUUUCAUUUAAUGCUAGCACAUAUUCAGUCCAACUCAGAUCAACAACUGAAUCUCUAGAUCUCAUAUAAGAUCUGCCAAGCAAUUGCUUCCCCGUCCAUAUAAUAAAAGCCACCUUCAAUCUCAUCCAUUGAGAAAAAUUGAUCCAUCUUAUACAAUCACUUUCUUAGCUCUUGACCAGAAAAUUUAGGAAAAUCUAAUCUAGAGAAUACAGUAAUGAAAUUACAAUGCUUGUGAUUCUCCUUAGCUCUGGUGUCUUGAUGGAGUUCCCUAGAACAAGCUUUGUCAGUGGAAGAUUCUGCCCUUCCUGCCUAUUUAUCCUUUCCUUUAAGACCUGGUUGAUUCAUGACUUCUCUAAUGUCACACAUUUCCUUAUCAGUCUGAGAAUUCUUAUCCACCAUAAUUGUCAUUUCUUUCAUCAACUUCUGCAAAUUCAGUGGCGGAGCCACCUUACUAUUACGGGGUUCAUCCGAACCCCUUUCGGUGGCGGAAAAUUAUAUAAUAUAUACAUGGUUAAAAUAACUUUUUAGGUACAUAUAGUAGAUAUCGAACCCCCUUCAGCUAUUUCAUGUGUCUAUUUAUUCAAAUUUUGAACCCCUUAUUGAAAAUCCUGGCUCCGCCACUGUCUGCAAUUGAUCUUAAAUUUGGACAAAUUUAUCCUCCAUUGAUUUGCUAGGUUUAUCUUGACUUUUUCUGUGGGUUAUCAUCUACAGCCAAGAAUGAGUGGGUUUGAUACCAAUUAAUGCAAUUAAGCAAUCUGUAAUGAAAUUAGCUAAUCUAGAAGAUGGAACUAGAAGAAGAUGAUAGCCAAAUCAGGGUUAUAACCAAGAAUUGCGGUUGGAUUGAAUGUAGAAGAGAAAAAGAGAAUUAGAUAUUAUUUCAUGAAUGAAUCCAAUUACAUGUAAUGGCUAUAUUUAUAGAAAUGAAGCUACUAACUGAAAUCUGGAAUCUAACGGCUAUAGUCUAACAACCGCAACUAGUUCACCGUUAAACUUGUAUCAUUUUUUCUUCAGAAGGCCUUUUGGAAGCAGAAUCUUCCGAGCCUUCACCAUUGGAAUCUUCGGAUAAAUUAGGGGUGGAAAAAUCAAAUCUACCCCGUUCAACUCAACCAAUCCGUUUAGUUUUGGGGGAUUUAUUGAUCCACACAUUCAUUAGCUCAACCAAUUUCAACUCAUUAAAAAUUGCGUUGAUAUGUAACCCAACUCAUGAUAAUAAUAUUAUUAUUAUUAUUUUCAAUUUGGUAUGUUAUACAUUAGCCAUAAUAAAGAAAAAUAAUAAUUUAUUAGGUACUAAAAUAGUUUAAAGAACAAAUAAAAAUGUUUUUUCAUAUUAUUUAUAUUUCAUUUCCUUCUUCAUGUGAUUCCAUGAAUUUUUUCGUAUUAUCUAAAAAAAUCAUUAGUAUAAUUUUGUUAGUUUUCUAAUUUUUAAAUUAAAGUAGAAUUCAUUGUUGAAUAAAGUUAUGGACUUACGUUUUCCUUUUCUUUUAAAUCAUAUUUAUGUAUGUUAUAAUGUUGAAAUUUGACAUACGAGUAUUAUGCUCAAUUUUUUGUUUUGAAUUCAGAACUGAUGUUAUAUUUUCAAUUUCAUUUGUUUUAGGAGUAUUGACUCGAUACUUUAUAUUGCAAGCUAUUUUUUAAAGUUAGACUUGAUAGAUUAUCUUCUUCUUUUUUCAAAUGUUUUAUAAUUUUAUGACAUUAUAUUUAUAAUAUUAAUCUUUUUGUCAAACAUGAAUUUCAUGAUGUUCUUGAAAUUCUGUAAUUUUAGUUUUUAUGAUUAAUUUAAUUAAAGAGUAACUUUCACAUAUAGCAAACAUAAAAAUCAUAUUUGUAUGUUAUAGCUAUAGUUUGCAUAAUUGCGCUCCAUAACAAAUUUUAUGUUUGAUAUGGAGCUUUUGAUUUGUAUAAUUCGCUAGAUACAUCCAAUUUUAUACAAAUUGUUCAGUUUUGUAUAAAUUCAUUUAUACAUUGUAAUUUGUAUAAUAAGAUCUGUAUUUGUAUAAUUAUAAGUGUAUAUGACGAAAAUAUAUGUAUUUGUAUUUGUAUAUACACUUUUCUCUCACUUUAUACAAACACAAACACAUUUUAUACAUUUGUAUACCGAAUGAGUAAUUGUAUACCGAAAAUGACUAAUUGUAUACCGAACCAGAUGGAAAAAAGGGAUGUUUCCAGCGAAUAAAUUAUGACUAUAUCAUUUAAUUUGAAUUAAUAAUUUUCUAUUUCAUACAAUUUUCUCUUAAUUAAAAUAUACUAAAUUGAAAAAUAUGAAUCAACUAUUUUUUAUAAUAUCAAAUAAGAACAUAUGUUCACUAAUUAUAUCUUUUCAAAAGACAAUAUAUAUCUUAAAUAUUCAAUUUAAUAUCAUUUAUAAGGUCCUUAUUUAUCUAAUAUAAAUUUUUAAUUUUAAAUAGUUAAUUUUUAUUUUUAAAAUCCAAUAUAACCUUAUGAUUACACUUAUGCAACCAAAUAGUACACUUGUAAUUACAUUGUGACAAACAAAUAGGUCAGUGAAAUUACUAUCCUAGUAAUUAUACCAAUUUCAAUUAUUUGAUGACUUUCCAAACAGACCCUAAGUGUAGUAAGUGUAUUCAGGGGCAUAUCUAGAGGGGGUGCCGUGGGUUCAUGUGAACCCAUGAUCCUCUCUCUAGAUCAUAUAUAGUAGUGUUAUAUUUUUAAAAAAAUAUUUAAAUAUAGAUGGGUAAAUUCACGUUUAAAGUAUCAUAUAAUAAUGAGAUGAUGAUUGGGUGCACCUCUCUAAGUGAGGAUAUAAUUUUAAUUCUUAUAUCUAUCUUGUCUUUUUGAGUAGCACCUGUCCAAGUGGUUAUCAGUUACAUUUUUGGUGUUUCAACUAAUUUUUCUUUUGUUUUUUUUUCAUUUAAUCUUUCAACAAUUUCAAGUAUGUUACAUUGAAAAUUCCUAAAAAAUUUGGCACUGGAAUUAUUUUUAUAUAAUUAAAUCAAAUGUGUACAUUAAAAUUUAAAAUUCUUAGUAUUAUAUUUUGGACCUAUAAUUGUUAAAAUUUAAUGGUUCAUAUUAAGAAGCUAAAAGUCAAACCGAUCAAAUUUAUAUUUAAGAUGCACUUCUCGUAAUCGUGCAUGGAUCUUGCCGAAAUCUUGGAUACGCUUUUGUCAGUAUUAGAUGUGAAUUAGGCUCAUAAGGAACCUCUAGCACCAAGCCAAGUUUAAAACAUUCUUAUCGACUAAUCUUUUGCAUGAGUUCAUACAAUGAUCAACUUCAAACGACUAUAUCUGUUAGAAUGUGAACAAUUUUUAAUACCAAGAAAAUGAUAGGUCGUGGAGCCUUCUUUCCAAUGCCUCAACUAUUCGUCAAUCCACACUACAAAAAAAAACAACAUUUAGUGACGGAUUUCAGCGACAAACAAUAUUCUGUCACUAACUAACGACGGAUUAGCUACGAAAAACUAAUUUGGUUGCUAAAAUAUCAAAGGAAAUAUUUGGAUCUUCAAUAGUGACGGAUUAGCGACGAAAAUUGAAAUGUGUUGGUAAAAUUGGGCGCUAAAAUUUGGCGCCUUAAUUUGCCUACGAAAAUAGCGACGCAUGGCGGAUGAAAAAUUUGAUAAUUUGUUAGCGACAGAUUUAACGACGGAAAUAUUUGUCGCUAGUGUUAUUUUAUUUCUUGCUACAAAAAUUUUGGUCGUUGGCUAAUUUCUUUUAAAUUAUAUAGAAAUAUUUUAGCGACAGAAUGCAUAUCCGUCGCUAAAAUCGUCACUAAAUUUUACCCAAAUUUUUUAGGGCUCCAAUAUUUCCCUCUCAACUUAACACUUUUCCCUCAUUUUCACAGAAAAAAAAUUACCUCUCAUCUCUCACAAACAAAACCUCUCAUCCCUCAUUUCCCACUCACCGUGAAAAUGCAAANNNNNNNNNNNNNNNNNNNNNNNNNNNNNNNNNNNNNNNNNNNNNNNNNNNNNNNNNNNNNNNNNNNNNNNNNNNNNNNNNNNNNNNNNNNNNNNNNNNNNNNNNNNNNNNNNNNNNNNNNNNNNNNNNNNNNNNNNNNNNNNNNNNNNNNNNNNNNNNNNNNNNNNNNNNNNNNNNNNNNNNNNNNNNNNNNNNNNNNNNNNNNNNNNNNNNNNNNNNNNNNNNCCUAAGUAAGAUUUAUUUCAUUGUCUUUAGUUUUACUUAUAGAGCUUAACCCCUCCUCUCUAGUCAAUGAAGAUUCUUAUUCUUUCAAAACCUUUCUCUUACAACUAUAGCUAUCAGAGACAACACAAGAGGAAGUAAUAAUGAUUACAUAUGAAUUCGGGACAACAUUGUAAGGAUAAUAUAAGAUUUUUCUUGAAUAUAUAUUGCUAUAGUUUUUUUUUUCUUCUGUUUGUAACAUUUUGAUUCAUUCUCUCGUAUGCUCUAUUUUCUGUUUGUAACAAUGAUUUUGAUGUUUUCUAUGAUUCAGUCUCUAAAAGUGAAUACCCAUAUUUUUUUCUUGUAUCGACAACAUGAUUGAUUCAUCGUUGCUAGACAUCAGGUGUUGUUUCUUGGAAGUUGCUACAUCAUUGCUUGAAAUCAAGUGUUGCUGCAUCAUUGUUGGAAACUUUUCGCUGCUGCUUUGAGGCUACUUCAUUGUUACUGAAAACUUGUCGCUACUGCUUGGACGCUGCUUCAUCGUUGCUGGUUUAUCAAAAGGUAAUUUCAACUCCACGCUACUGCUUGGACGCUGCUUCAUCGUUGCUGGUUUAUCAAAAGGUAAUUUUAACUCCGAAACCUCAUAUUUCUUUGUAAAUCAAAAGGUAUUGUUUUUCUACAUUUUCAAUUUUCUUCACAGAUUUGAUAUUUUAUUUACAGAUUUGGCUGAAUCUCAAAGAAAUUUAAGGUAAAGUCUUUGAAGAUUUGUUUAGGUAAAGUCUUUAAACUCACAAGUAAGUCUAUUUUUUUAUAUAUAUUUCAUUGUAUCUCUAUUUUAUAUGCUUUUCUGUUCAUAUUACUUUUCUAUUCAUAUGUAUUUCUUUUGACAAUAAUUUAUAUGUAUUGUAUUUGAACUCAACCAAGAUGUCAUAUAUGAAUUUGUGUUCCUCUUCUUCAUUUGAUUGUCGUUGCCUUUCAUUACCUUUUACUUGAGUAAUUGGUUGAAUUGUCCAACUGUUGCAAGUUUAAGAAUUAUGGUUUAAUACAGUAAAAAAUGUUUUUGAUGUGGGUUUGGGUUAAAGUUGUUAACAAGUUAUUGAAGAAAAUCAUAAGAACCACGACUAUAUAUAAACUUACUUGCUUGCCUUUUGUUCAUUUUGUUGUAUUAUUUCUUUAUAUAAAAAUCAAACAUUUAAAUGAAAAUCUCUAUCACCAAAAUUGUAUGAGUCGAAAAAAUACUCUUCCUCUUUGAUUACAAGCAAAAGCAUAAUAGGUUAUGUAUAACUGUAAACUUUUAUUCCUUCAGAACUUGUUGACUAAAUGGUUUAUAUAACGAAUUGGUGUUGCGUUCUAACAUGUUUUGUGUUCUAUUAAAGUUUUAAAUCUUUGUUGACACUUUUGCUUGUCAUUUUUUUUGUGGUUUCAAUUGUUUUUGCUAAACUAAUAUGUUAUUGCUUUAUUUUUAAUUUUUUGGAUAACUCUAAUUGUCUUGUUUAUUUUAACAUUAAAUAGGAGUAUGAAUAAUCUAAAACGUAGUUGGAUGUGGUUUUGGAAUAUCACAAGUAAAAUUAUGGACUGGGAUCUUGACUGCAGCAACUAGGAAAGAAAGACAUUUUCCUUUCCGCAGCCUAGCAAAGUAGGAAAGAAAGAUCUAUGUUUUCUGACCCUCAGACUUAUCUGACCAUUGUUUCAACUUUUCAAGUUCGACCCUCAGACUUAUCUGACCAUUCCUUAACUUCUCCAGCUCCUCUCCUAGAUUAUUGUUCACGAGAUCAACACGAGGACUAGCGUUGAUCUGGAAUUCUGCUUUCGAUACAUUUCAGUCAGUGCUUUUUAUGAGUUGUAUUCUCCUUCUCUAGACACUUAAUCCUGACAAAGAUAUUAGGAUCAGUAAAAGUAGGUGUUGCAACUUAAAUAGUUGUUUCUCAAGUGCAGUUUUUUCAGAUUUCAAUAUUUGGUGUUGAUUUGGAAUUCUACUUUCGAUAUUUGAUGUUGGUUUUGUUCAAAAUUUACUCAUGUAAACUUUGUUUUGCACAAUAUGUCUGUUUUUAUUCUUAGACCUUUUUUUAAUGCAUAAUUUUUUAAACACAUGAGAACUCAUUGAUGUUAGUUGAGUCUGGAUGUGUCUAUUGUUGUUAUAAAUAAAUAAUUUCACUAAUUUUCACUCUUUUGCAGGAAAAAUAUCAAGAAAUAUUAUAGAACCAAACACAAACUCAAUCUGAUGUUGAUCAAUGGAAAACAUAUUAUCAAGCAACGGGAGGGGAAAAGAAAAGAAGGAUAUAUGGUCUUAAAGCUCAAGCAAAAGUAUUUUAUGGAUCAAAUUUUUGUGUCUCUUCUGGAUCUGAUGCUUCUGGCUCAGUACCAUGUCCAAAUGCUCAAACAACACCGACAGAAAAUAUGGAUGAGUUAGUGGUGCGAAUGAUUCCUUCGCUAACUAAUCACCUACUUUCUAUAUUUGUAGAGCAGGUACGUGGUUUGAUUUCUCCAGCCUCAUCUCAGUCAGACUCUCCUACCAACCAUCCAUCAACUAUUGCACUUGUAAUUCCUGCUCCAACUGCAACAAAUAUCGAUGAGGAUCGUGCAUCGCUUUCUGAGGAAUGAUUGUGGCUCUCUAGUCUCUCUUAGUUAGUUUUUGAUGGCUAGAUUUUGUUGCAAAUGCUUUCAGCUAUAUAUUUUGCUUGAAAUUUAUCAUUGGGGAUACUUUGAACUUGGUAAUAUAAUUUGCACUUAGUUAUGUACUUUGGAUCUUGUAGAAUAUUAAUUUCUAUGGAUUAAGUUAAUUUUAUGAUUGUAUAAUAUGUGUUUGAAAAUGUGUAUUUAAUUACACAAAUAAAAANNNNNNNNNNNNNNNNNNNNNNNNNNNNNNNNNNNNNNNNNNNNNNNNNNNNNNNNNNNNNNNNNNNNNNNNNNNNNNNNNNNNNNNNNNNNNNNNNNNNNNNNNNNNNNNNNNNNNNNNNNNNNNNNNNNNNNNNNNNNNNNNNNNNNNNNNNNNNNNNNNNNNNNNNNNNNNNNNNNNNNNNNNNNNNNNNNNNNNNNNNNNNNNNNNNNNNNNNNNNNNNNNNNNNNNNNNNNNNNNNNNNNNNNNNNNNNNNNNNNNNNNNNNNNNNNNNNNNNNNNNNNNNNNNNNNNNNNNNNNNNNNNNNNNNNNNNNNNNNNNNNNNNNNNNNNNNNNNNNNNNNNNNNNNNNNNNNNNNNNNNNNNNNNNNNNNNNNNNNNNNNNNNNNNNNNNNNNNNNNNNNNNNNNNNNNNNNNNNNNNNNNNNNNNNNNNNNNNNNNNNNNNNNNNNNNNNNNNNNNNNNNNNNNNNNNNNNNNNNNNNNNNNNNNNNNNNNNNNNNNNNNNNNNNNNNNNNNNNNNNNNNNNNNNNNNNNNNNNNNNNNNNNNNNNNNNNNNNNNNNNNNNNNNNNNNNNNNNNNNNNNNNNNNNNNNNNNNNNNNNNNNNNNNNNNNNNNNNNNNNNNNNNNNNNNNNNNNNNNNNNNNNNNNNNNNNNNNNNNNNNNNNNNNNNNNNNNNNNNNNNNNNNNNNNNNNNNNNNNNNNNNNNNNNNNNNNNNNNNNNNNNNNNNNNNNNNNNNNNNNNNNNNNNNNNNNNNNNNNNNNNNNNNNNNNNNNNNNNNNNNNNNNNNNNNNNNNNNNNNNNNNNNNNNNNNNNNNNNNNNNNNNNNNNNNNNNNNNNNNNNNNNNNNNNNNNNNNNNNNNNNNNNNNNNNNNNNNNNNNNNNNNNNNNNNNNNNNNNNNNNNNNNNNNNNNNNNNNNNNNNNNNNNNNNNNNNNNNNNNNNNNNNNNNNNNNNNNNNNNNNNNNNNNNNNNNNNNNNNNNNNNNNNNNNNNNNNNNNNNNNNNNNNNNNNNNNNNNNNNNNNNNNNNNNNNNNNNNNNNNNNNNNNNNNNNNNNNNNNNNNNNNNNNNNNNNNNNNNNNNNNNNNNNNNNNNNNNNNNNNNNNNNNNNNNNNNNGUAGUGCAAGAUCAACAAUGAAUAGUGGAGUCUGUAUCUCUGAUCCAAAUACGGGUGAUUACUAUGGAAGGAUUCAAGAAAUUAUACAAGUGGAAUACCGUAGAGCACCUUUAAAGCAAGUUAUGUUAUUCAAGUGUGAAUGGUUUGAUCCAGCAUUAAAUAUUGGUGUUAAGGUGCAUAAUCAGUAUAAAUUGGUCGAUGUUAAUCAUCGUCGCCGAUUUAAAAAAUAUGAACCUUUUAUUCUUGCGAUGCAAGCAACUCAAGUGUGUUAUAUGUCUUAUCCUAGCACAAAGAAGGACAAGGAUGAUUGGUUAGCUGUAUUAAAAGUCAACCCUCGAGAUGUCAUUGAAUUACCUGAUGAGGGAGUGAUCACAAUACCAGAACCAAAUCUUCCAUUUCAAGUUGAAGAAGUUGAAGUUCAUGAGAUAGAUAUGAAUAUUAUUGUUGAUGAAACUAUACUUCUGCAUGAUCCAAAUGGGGAGGCAAUUGAAAUGGAUGAACCAAUUGAUUAUGGAUUGUUUCCAGAGCAUCAUGAAUUAGAUGAAGAAUUUACAGAAGACGAGUAUGAAACUGAGAAUGAAUCUGAAGAGGAUGAUGAGGAGUUCGAAGAAGAAAUAGAUACAGACUAGUGUAUUGAUAGUAAUGUGCUACAAUGUCUUUAAUGACGUUUGUUUAUAGUAGUAUGUUUUGGAUGCUAUUUGUUUCUUGUGGAAAAACAGUGCUUACUGAUUGUUGUAUCUUUUUUGUGCUUUGUAGCUCUAAUUUCUUAAAGCUAUUAGUAUCUUUUUGUGUCUGACAUGCUUCAACUUUGGAUGAAAUUUUUCUAAAUGUACCUCCCUUUUAGCAUGAGCAAACUCAAGAAAUAAGAUAGUUGUUUAUAUAGUUGGAAGGCAUUCUCAAACUUCAGUUUUUCCUACUUCUGGACAUUCUCAAGUUCAGUUUGGUCCAUGACAUGUGUGAAAGAAUCUGAAUAUUUCUUAAAAGAGAGAAAUUCUUUAACUUAGAUUUGAUAAAUAUGAUUAACUUUGUUUUUUUUGUAGAUAUGACACGAGGCAGAGGUCGAGGUAACACAAGUCGUGCAAGCAAGAUGUCAAUUGGAGAUCGAGGUAGCACAAGCAAGUUAAUAUGCCCACUGUUCCUAUUCCCAUAACUAGUUCUCAACAAGGUGGUAUUAGUUCUUCUAGUGGACCAAAUAAUAUCAUUCAAGUUCAGACAUUAGUUCCUACUAUUUCUCCUCAUGUUCAAACAUUAGAUCAAUGUAGUACCCCAUCAGUUCAUCUUGAACCAGCCCCUGUAAUACCUAAUAGAAGCAAUGCAAUAGUUGAGGGUGCAUCUACUGAUCAGAGAAACGUAACAGGUGACUCUACAUCUAAUCAAAACAACACAAUAGGUGAAGGUGAGAGCAAUAGUAACCCUGAACAGCGGACGCUUGUUUUUCUUUCUGCUGCCGGGUUAGUGUGUGUUUGCACUAUUAUUAUUAAUAUACUGUGAAUUUCUGUAUCAAAGAGUUCAUAUAAUAUCUUCAAAUUUUUUUUCAGGUCAUAGGUGAGGGUGCAUCUACUGAUAAGAGAAACGUAACAGGUGACUCUACAUCUAGUAAAAACAACACAAUAGGUAAAGGUGAGAGCAAUAGUAACCCUGAACAGCGGACGCUUGUUUUUCUUUCUGCUGCCGGGUUAGUGUGUGUUUGCACUAUUAUUAUUAAUAUACUGUGAAUUUCUGUAUCAAAGAGUUCAUAUAAUAUCUUCAAUUUUUUUUCAGGUUGGAACCUUCAAGUACUUGCUCUAAUCGAAUAUGUGAGUCUUUCAAGAGUGAGCUUGAUCCCAAGGGAACUAAUUGGAAAAGUGUCCCACAAGAAACAAAAGAUUUUUAUCUAGGGGAAUUCGAGGUAUAAUAUUUCAGCAUUUUAAUUAAAAAGGUUCAUCAGUUUUAUAGUUUGGAUACUGAUGUUGUUAUUUAUAAAACUAUUUCAGAAGGAAUUCUAUUGGGAUCCAUCCAUUGAUAGUGAAGUGAAGAUACAAUGGCGAAGGAAGGCAGCGAGAAGGUACAGUGAUUUCAUUUCUGGCUUAAAAAAAGAAGGAAAACGGCCAAAAUAUAUUUCAGAAGAAAUAUGGGAAAGUUGGAUGAGUAUUUGGAAGAAACCUGAGGUUAUUGAAAAGUCAAAAAUAAAUUCAAGAAAUCGUUGUGGCGGUCAGGAUGCAGUUGCCAAAGGAACUCACACGGGAGGCUCUAUUACCAUUGGAGAGCAUCGUAAGAGACUUGUAAGUAUAUUUUCACGCACCCUUCAUUUACUUGUGUCACAGUGACUAUUUGCAAUUGAGUUAGCAUUCAAGUUUUAUCUCUAAGGAUUUUCUAGAAUUUUGUGAACAAGAAAAAACAUUUGUUAAUGUCGAUGUAGUGCUGAUGUAGAUGUGUCUCCUAGCUAACCUUACUUUGCUAUGAACUAACAGAUAUGGUCUCGAAUUACACUAUACCAUGCUUUUAUAUUUUCAUGUACUUUAAUUUUUUUUUCUUGUAUAGGCUAUUAAAAAUGGUCGCAAUCCAACACCAAGUGAGAUACAUUGCAUGUCCAUACACAUGGUCAUGAUGGAAAAUCUUUUGUUGGUGAACGAGCUCAAAUCGUGCAUGUAAUUUCAAUAUUCUUACUGCUGAUCCCAAGGUGCUUUCUAAUCUCUUCAUUUGUGGCUGGUGUUAUUAGUUUCAAUUGUUGUGUUCUUUUCAGUCUUGGUCCACUGCUCAUUAUAUCUCUUCUUACUGUUGAUAAUACAUGAGUUGAUGAUCCUAAUAAUGCCUAUAUCUCUUCUUACUUCUCAAAUAGUUUAGGAGAGUGGUUAACAUUGGAUGACUUGGUUUUCUCCAUUCCCUUAUGAUUAUUGGCAUGAAGCUUUUAUGAUCUGCUAAGUGGUUGAAAAAUCUGAAGCUUCUAGCCCCUUUUGGUGACAUCUCUUCAAAAGGGAAUGAAGAUUUCUUGUGAACUCGAUUUCUUAAUUUUAUAUUGUUGUUGUGUUUAUUUUAUACAAAUCUAGAUAAAAUGCUUUAUCUCGAUCUAGCAAACAUUCCCCUUUUCGAGCUUCAUUGUUAUUGUCGGUAUUGAUUUUGAUUGGAAUAAGUUGCAGGUGCUUCCCCUUUAUUUUCGUUCUAGCUUCUGUUAUUUUUUAUUUUGAUUUUGAUUGGAACACAAUUGAUCAGAGUAGCUAGACAUUGUAGUUAUUUCUAGUGUCAUUGCUGCUAGGACCAUAACAGAAGAUACAUGUAAGUCUUCCUGCAACAUACAGACCUUCUUCAGUAAUGGGUCUCCACUGCUCAACACAUGAAAAAUUAAUUCCCAGACCAACAUUAAGUCCUCUUAGGAUGUGCACUGUACGGAGAACAUAAAACAGUAUACGUAUAUUUAAUUCGCCAACUGGUUCAACUGGCAACUGUUAUCACCAUGUGAAUGAAGGAAAACCAAUGUUGUUAACUGCCAAUAUACUAUUGUUUCCAAAGGUGGGGACUUAUGGUUAGACAAUAGGAAAACUACUGAAGUUUACUAGGUGAAAGGCAUUAUCUGUGGUUUUGGAUUAUCACAAGUAAAAUUAUGGACUGGGAUCUUGACUGCAGCAACCUGGAAAAAAAGACAUUUUCCUUUCUGCAGCCUAGCAAAUUAGGAAAGAAAGAUCUAUGUUUUCUGACCCUCAGACUUAUCUGACCAUUCCUCAACUUCUCCAGCUCCUCUCCUAGAUUAUUUUUCACGAGAUCAACACGAGGACUAGUGUUGAUCUGGAAUUCUGCUUUCGAUACAUUUCAGUCAGUGCUUUUUAUGAGUUGUGUUCUCCUUCUCUAGACACUUAAGCCUGACAAAGAUAUUAGGAAUAGUAGAAGUAGGUGUUGCAGCUUAAAUAGUUGUUUCUCAAGUGCAGUUUUUUCAGAUUUCAAUAUUUGGUGUUGAUCUGGAAUUCCGCUUUCGAUAUUUGAUGUUGGUUUUGUUCAAAAUUUACUCAUGUGAACUUUGUUUUGCAUCUUAGACCUUUUUUAAAUGCAUAAUUUUUUAAACACAUGAGAACUCAUUGCUGUUAGUUGAGUCUGGAUGUGUCUAUUGUUGUUAUAAAUAAACAAUUUCACUAAUUUUCACUCUUUUGCAGGAAAAAUAUCAAGAAAUAUUACAGAACCAAACACAAACUCAAUCUGAAGUUGAUCAAUGGAAAGCAUAUUAUCAAGCAGCGGGAGGGGAAAAGAAAAGAAGGAUAUAUGGUCUUGGAGCUCAAGCAAAAGUAUUUUAUGGACCAAACUUUCGUGUCUCUUCUGGAUCUGAUGCUUCUGGCUCAGUACCAUGUCCAAAUGCUCAAACAACACCGACAGAAAUAUGGAUGAGUUAGUGGUGCGAAUGAUUCCUUCGCUAACUAAUCACUUGCUUCCUAUAUUUGUAGAGCAGAUACGUGGUUUGAUUUCUCCAGCCUCAUCUCAACCAGACUCAGCUACCAACCAUCCAUCAACUAUUGCACCUGUAAUUCCUGCUCCAACUGCAAAAAAUAUCGAUGAGGAUCGUGCAUCGCUUUCUGAGGAAUGAUUGUGGCUCUCUAGUCUCUCUUAGUUAGUUUUUGUUAGCUAGAUUUUGUUGCAAAUGCUUUCAGCUAUAUAUUUUGCUUGAAAUUUAUCAUUGGGGAUAUUUUGAACUUGGUAAUAUCAUUUGCACUUAGCUAUGUACUUUGGAUCUUGUACAAUAUUAAUUUCUACGGAUUAAGUUAAUUUUAUGAUUAUAUAAUGUGUUGAAAUGUGUAUUUAAUUACACAAAUAAAAAAAUAUUGAUAGAUUUGUGACAAAUUAUUUUCGUCGCUAAAUGAAUGGAGAUGAAAUUAGCAACAAAAUAUUUGGUCGCCCUAUAUGAAUGAAACGAUGAAAUAAUAUAUAAAAUAGAGGGAUAAAAUUUAAAAUACACGAUGGAUUUUUUGUCGCUAAAGAAAUUGGUGACGAAAUUAGCGACAAUAAUUUGGUCGCCAAUAUGUUGAGACGACGAAAUAAGUUACAAGAACAACGACAUAAAUUACAAAAUAGUGACAGAUUUUUCCGUUGCUAAUCUUGCCAACGGAUAACUUUCGUCGCAAAUCCGUCGCUCAGUUUGUGACGGAUUCAAUUUUUUUGUCGCUAAAUGGUUAGCUACGCGCAAUAUAGAGACGAACAAUAUUUUGUCGCUAUUCCGUCGCUAAACCAAAAUAGCGACAAAAUAAUCUAUUUAGCGACCAAUUUUGCUUGUAGCUAAACACAGUUUUUUUUUGUAGUGCCAAGUUAUGUGCUAAAAGUUAUUUCCAUUUUACUAGGCACUAUGUAUUUCGUGCGAUCUGCCGCUCGAAGAGGACAUUAGCUGCGCGGUAAGGUCAAUGCUGCGGGUUAGGCCAAUUUCAAUCAUUUUAAAAAUUGGACUAAUUUUCUAGUAACGCAAAUGAUAGAAUGACCACUUUGCCUAAUUACCCUAUUAUAUGUGAGGAAAAUUGAUACUAAUUUAAAAAGGCAUAUGUGUACUAACAGUUAAUAGAAAUAAAAGAUACUCCAUUAUUACUACUCUGUUAUUGUAAUAACUGUUCUUCUAGUCAUAUACAGUAGAGGUUGACGUUCGGUUGUUUAGUUUUAUUUUAUCAAAUUUUGGUUUAGUUCUUCGAUUUUCGGUUUUGAAAAAAUGUGCACUUCAAUUUGAUUUGAUUCGGUAUUUUUAAAACGAUUUUUUGGUGCAUAUGAAUAAUAAAAUGAGAACAAAAUUAAAGUAUAUAUAAGUAAUAAUGUGUCUCAUGAUGAAACAUUGUGCCUCUAACUAUUACUCAAGGAAAAUAAGGAACAAGACCGUAUAAAUCUGGAUUAGUUGGACUUUGAUGCGAAUAAAUGAGAAAUAAUAAUAAAAAAAUGAUAUUCUAGAUAUGGAUAGCUUACCUGUUUCCUUUGGCAUUCUAAAUCAGUUGAGUAUUUACUUUAAAAACAACCUAAAUUCCGUUCGGACAUCGUAAGCACGGUCCUCAGCAAAGAGGACACGUAGAGAACUAUUUUUAUUUAUUUAAUUUUUAAUUUUUUUUAAAUUUUUUUUAAAACACGUAGAGAACUAGAAUUGUCAUGCUUUCUAUUUAUUUCAUCACAAAAAACUCCUAAUUUCUCCUGCAAUUUCCCUAUGUCUCCACACUGAUUUUCUUGCUUAUCUGGUAAGUUUUUAUCUCUUAUUAAUUCCUUCUUCUAAUACAUUACUUGUAUUCUUGCUAUACAUAAUAAGGAAAUGAGGAAAUUUUUUAUAAUGGUAGAGGUCCAACCAACAAUAGUUGUGUGACUUUCCAUUGAUUAAUUGACAUUUGGAUAAUGUGUCUAUUUCUUCACCUUUUUACCAUCUCUCCAAAUUUUUUUAUAAUGGUAGAGGUCCAACAACAAUAGUUGUGUGACCUUCCAUUGAUUAAUUGACACUUGAAUAAUGUGUCUAUUUCUUUACAUUUUUACCAUCUCUCUCCGAAAAUUUUUAUAAUGGUAGAGGUCCAACCAACAAUAGUUGUGUGACCCUCCAUUGAUUAAUUGACACUUGGAUAAUGUGUUUAUUUCUUUACCUUUUUACCAUCUCUCUCCUUCUCACCCUUCUUUUCAUUCAUUUUCUUAUUUUCUUACUCCUAAUAAAUAUUUCUUAAUUUAAGUUAUAAUUUUUUAAAAUACUUAAUAGAAAAACGUUAGAAAAUAUAUAUUAUAACUGAAUGUACGUAAAGACACGAAAAAUGAAUUCUAAUAAUAUUAAGGUUGAAUGAUAUUAUUAUUAUUAUUAUUAUUAUAUUAUAAUAAUAAUAACAAUAACAAUAAUAAUAAUAAUAAUAAUAAUAAUAAAAAUCUUAUCAAAUCAAUUUAUAUGCUAAAGUAAAUUAGUUUGUAUUUUGAGUUAAUUUGAUUCUAUUAAAUAUACUGAAAAAUAAGUUUAUUUUUAAUGUUAACAAUUUUAUAAGUGUUUAAGUUAUUUUAACAGAAAAUGUAUUUAUCGAUAUUUUUUUUAAUCAAAUGUAUUAAUUAUUUAAUUAUGUUUUGAGAAUUAGAUAUUUAUUUGGAGAAAAAAAAUGAACGAAAAGAGAGGUGAGUAAGAGAGAUGGUAAAAAGGUAAAGAAGUGGACCCAUUAUCCAAGUGUCAAUUAAUUAAUGGAGGGUUACACAACUAUUGUUGGUUGGACCUCUACCAUUGUAAAUUUUUUCAGGAAAUGAGUAUGUAAAAACAAUAACACUCACUCUUUUGUAUUCAAAUAAUCAACACGAAAACAUGUUGUACUACAACAUUCAUGUCAUUUUUAUAGGGAAAAAGGUCUGAUAUAUCCAUUAACUUUGUUAUUUUGAGUUGAUAUAUCCCUCGUUAUAAAAGUGACUCAUAUAUACUCUUACUGUUAUACAAAUGACUCACACAUACCCCUUUCCUCUAACGGAAGUGAAAAAAUUAAUUUUAUUUUAAUAUUUUAAUUAUUUUUUUGAAAAAAAUAUAAUCCACGGUAUAUGGAUUAUACCCCACACAUAUAGGAUAUAUUUAAUACCCCUCACACGUAUUUUUUAUUUUAUUUUAAUGACUAAUUUAAAUUUAUUAUUUUGAUGGUCAAAUUUAUUUAUAUUUCACUAAUUUUCUUGUAAAAUUUAUUAUAGAUGCCCCAUUUUUUAUUUUUACAAAUACAAAAAACUAAAUUACAAUAUAGCCGUAAAAAAUAGUUUUAAAUUUUUUCUUUACACUAAAGAAUGAAAGAAAAAAGAAUAAGAAACUCAGAUAAUGAUAAUCUAAGAAGUCAAAAAAAAAUUGUAUGAAAAAGAUUAAAAUUUACCUUGAAAUUUGCUAGGAAGGAUCAUAUAUAUACCUCUACAUGAUUUUUUUUUUAAAUUGAAAGUAAAAUAAAAUAAAUGUAAGACUAUUUUUUUCAGUUCUGUUAGAUGAAGGGUAUAUGUGAGCUCAUUUUGUAACGGUAAGGGUAUAUGUGAGCCAUUUGUAUAACGGUAAGAGUAUAUAUGUGCCACUUUCAUAACGAUGAGUAUAUCGGCUCUAAAUGACAAAAUUAAGGAGUAUAUCAGACCCUUUUUCCUUUUUUUAUAUGAGCUAGUUUGACUUGACACAGAAUUUUAAGAAAAAAAUGAAGAAUUGUGGUCUAAAAUAAGUGAUAGAUAUUUGUGUGACUAUACAUAAUUUCAUUAAAGGUAAAAUAAGAAUUCUUAAUUGUUACUUAAUAUAAAAAUGUGUCAUUCUUUUUGGAUCCACUAUAAACGAAAGUAAGUCAUAUAAAAUGAAACAGAGUAACAAUUCUUAAUUUCAUCACUAUUUAAUUAACUAUUAUAGUUUGCAACCAUUUAUUUCACAUACGCAUAUUGUUAAGCUUGAAGAACUUGUCAAAUGUAAGAGUUUUAGUAUUCUAACCAAAACUAGUUGUAGAUUCAUAGUGAACAUACUGUAUAAAUGGAUCUCAGUGAUGAUUAAAAACUCGUCUUGCUUCUGAAUCGAACAUGCAACGAAAAUAUUGUACUAGUAAUAUUUAACGUAUCAACCUGAAUUUUGCUCGCCCUGCCCUGCAUAGCUUCAUUUAGAAUUUCAGUUGUAGUUCACCCGCCCCGCCCCGCCCCGCCCCGUAUGCGUUGUUAAUUGGUUGAGGAUAUUGUUGUCAACAGAUAUACUAGUAUCAAGUGAAGAUGUUAGGCUGUUCAAAAUACAAGUUCCUUUCACUUGUUUUGAUGUUACUGCUAAUAAUGGUUGAUCCAAGUUCACAAUCUCAAGUAAAAGAAGAAAACGGAGUUAAAUCUGCUGUCUUUCGAUCACCAACGAUUAUGCUGGAACCUGGAUCUGUCUCUAACAAGUAUUACAACAACAUUGACUUCCCUAAAGGCCAUAUUGCUGUCAAAAGUUUUGUUGCUGAAGUAGUUGAUGAGGCAGGGAAUUCGGUACCCCUCUACGAGACAUAUCUUCACCACUGGGUUGUUGUAAGAUAUUAUUAUCGAAAAGGUGUGGGGUUCAAUCAAUCAAAUUUUAUUGUCAAAAGAAAUUCAGGGAUAUGUGAUGAAGGCCUUCCUCAAUAUUUUGGCCUUGGAUCAGAGACCCGAAAAACAAUCACCUAUGUUCCAGACCCUUAUGGAAUAGAAGUUGGUAAUCCAGUCGAAGUACCUCCUGGAUACGAGGAAAGAUGGUUGUUCAAUAUACAUGCAAUUGAUACAUGAGGUGCGGAAGAUAGAUUGGGAUGCAUUGAAUGCAGGUGUGAUCUUUAUAAUGUUACCAAGGACGAGAAUGACCGAGUGAUAGAGCUAGAUUACAUCGGAGGCUUGAGAUGUUGUUAUGAUGAAACAAGAUGCAGGGUGAAAGACGGAUUCUAUGGAUCGAGGAGAAACCUGUACCUGAAGUACACAGUGAAGUAUAUUGAUUGGGUUGCCUCCCUUGUGCCUGUCAAAAUUUAUAUACUUGAUAUCACUGAUGCAUGGAAAAAGCCAGAAAAAUCGACUGCCACUGUGGCAAGACAUCACUGCCAGGUGUGAAUGAUAAUUCAGCUCAUAGCUGAAAUCAUUUUUAACUCUUUGCUACUACCUAAAUAUAUCUGGUUAAUAGUUAGUUAAUUUCUUUUACUUCAGAUAGAAUAUUUAGUGGAAUCAUGUGCUGCAUCUGUUGCAAAUGUCGAUUGCACUCAUACAAAGAAGAUAAGCAUAACUUUUCCUAGUGGCGGAGAUAUCAUCUACGGAACUGCACAUCAACAUACAGGAGGGACUGGGAUGGCACUCCAUGGAGAGGUACUCUGAGCUAUUAUAUUUUGUUUCUUUGGUCAUGUUCUGCUUACAAUCUGGAUUACUUGUAUACAUUUCUUAUAGAUUUUCAGAUGAUGAACCUACUGAUAAAAACAGAGGUAUUUGUACAAAAAGCUUUUUCUUUUAAUCACCGUCGAGUGUUUAUUGUGUUUUGAUUAUCACACUAUGUUGUGUUCUUGUUCAUCUAUUGUAGGAUUUGCAUUGUUUCCCUUGUUGUUGGCUAUGUUUCUUAUAUUUAUUUAAUUAUUGUACUUGGAUUUGCUACAUUUGAGCCGAGAGUCUUUCACAAACAGUGUCUCUAUCUCCACGAGGUAGUGGUAAGGUUUGCGUACAGUCUACCCUCCCCAGACCCCACUUGUGGGACUACACUGGUGAUGUUGUUGUUGUUGUUGUUGAUACUUGGCUUGUUGCAUGCAUCUUAACACUGGUUGAUCGAAUCCAUAUCGAAUUUCAUUCUCUUAACAUCAGAUAAAAGAAGUGUUGUUAGCAUUCAUUUCAUGACAUGAUUGUCAUACUUCAGAAGAUUAUUUGGUUGAGUUUGGUGUUGAUUAUUUUCUUAAUUUCUUCUUCUCUGAUUCCACGGCACUGGUCUAGGAUGGACAUGUCAUAUGCUCGUCUCUUCCAAUAUAUGGGGAAGGAAAGGAACCAGGAAAUGAAGCUGGUUACAUUGUCGGUAUGUCUAGUUGUUAUCCUAUACCUGGCUCUAUCAAGAUCUCGGAAGGGGAGACUGUAACUUUACUGUCAAACUAUAGCAAUGCCCAGAGGCAUACAGGAGUGAUGGGGUUGUUCUAUCUCUUGGUUGCUGAACCAUCAUCGAAGCCUAACUCUAUCCUGAGUCUAUACUGAUAUGAGGUUCCCUCCAUUUGGUAACUGUGGUCCCUUCUUUUUGGACACGUGUGUUGCACUUGUAUGUCAAGUUACCAAAUUACAUGAAUUUGUAAUAUAAUGUCAAUAUUACUAAAAUAAACUUUGAGUAAAUGAUGGUAUAUAUUAUCCAUAUUAAUUAAGUACAAGUGUUUGUGAAUGACAUAUCUUUGGAUCUUUGUAUAGUGAAAUGUUUAUCAAUGUUAAGAUGACGGAAAAUUAUCUGAAUUUACGUAUGAAUGACAGAGAAAAAAAGAAAGGAUAAUAUCUGGUUUCAGACACUUUGAUGCAAUUCUAUGAUUUUGGUAUAAAGAAAAAAGAAAGGAUUCAAGAAUGUGCAGAUUCACUCCUGGAUGUUUACGAAGAAUGCAGAUACAAUUUUUCGUCACCCACAGGAUGUUCAUGUUCGUAUGAGAGUUGAUUUAUAUUUAUCAUUAUCUAUUCAUUGAACUUCGCCAAAUGAUGUAAAUUAACUCAUUGAGAACGUGUUGUAUUGUAUACACAUUUUUGGAUAGUCGUACUGUGUAUACUCAUAUGGGAUUUUUAUUUCCUUUAUGAAGAGGUCAAGAAAAGGAAUGAAUCCAGACAAUAAUAUGAAUACUUCUUUUUGAGAUACUAGAAUCAUUUUUCCCUCAAAGUCUCGACGGUAAUUAAGUUGUACUCAAUUUUACACUAGUGAGGAUGAUAGAAAAGCUGGUGGAUUCAUUGCUAAAUUCAAAGAACAGAUUAGGCAUUAAAAAAUUGAAUCAUUUAGAUGAUAAAGCACAAUCAAUUUUGCAUUGUCCACUAAGAAUCAGAUUACAAUAAAAAUGCCUGUAAAGAAGCAGUAACAAGUAACAACAUCCUAGCCUUAGAGAAAAAGCAUUUGAGCCUCUUUGAGUACAUACUAACCUUACUGCUUCCUUUUGAAGUUUGGUUACAAGAAUUAAAUUAGAUACCACACAAGGUGAAUUCAUGGACAAGAGGUGAAAUAAUAUCCCUAAUCUCUUCCAACGCUCGAGCAUUCUUGUCAAUGGAACUGCUAAGAGAAGUCCAUUUCUGCUUAAAAUCAGCAGCAAACUUUGGACUAACUACACAGAGAGUGUUGUACAGGUCUUUGAUGUUAUUCUUGAAUGGAGUUCCAGACAAAAGUAUGCGCUUCUCUGUUUCAACCUUUCUCAAAGCUUUCCACACAAGACUCUGCUCAUUCCAACCAUUCAGCCCUUCUUCAAGGACCAGAAGACCAGGAGAUUUUAGAAGUAUUUCUCUAGUCUCUUUGGCAUAACCCUCUCCAUCUUCUCCUGUGAGAAUUCUGAACAAGUCAUAACUGAUUCCCAAAACACUCUGACUUUUCGCCCAAGAUUGCAGCUUCACCAUGCGUUUAAGGUGUGGAUUUUUUUUCACAGCAUGGGAUAAACAGUUAAAGACACCAACAGUACCUUCAUCUUCCUUUAAAGAGAAGUCCUUGUUGUUCAAGUUGUGGAAGGGAAUGUCCACCGCCCAUUUCUGGAACUCGGCUUCCCAUUUAAGAAGCAAAUUGGAUGGAGCUAUGAUUACAGGCCGACACUGUGGGAACAACUUCAGAAAUGACUGAAGAAACACUAUGGUGAGUCGGGUUUUUCCGGUGCCUGGUGGGUGUGAGAUAAUGCAUCCUCCCUUACUCACAAAUAGGGGCUCUCUCAGCCUCUCAAGAGUUAUAUCUCCAGCAAUGUUGUUCCACAUGAACUCAAAUCCUUCACAUUGAUGAAAAUACAUUGUCGCUUUGGCAAUUUGGUGAACUAAAUCCCACACGGUUCCUUCUCCAUAAAAAUCAGAAACUCUGAAGCCAUGAACAUCCAAGAGUGAUGGCGACUCUUCAAAAUAUUUUCUUUCGUACCUCCCUCGAGUUCUCUGAGCCUGCAGAUGACACAAAAGUUCAAGAAUUUAAGAGUGAACCAUAAAUAAAUUGGAGAACAAAGUUCAAAAAAUAUUUGAAAAGAAAAGUGCUUGAUAGGACAAAACUCGUAUACUUACAAAAGGAGGGCAGAUGUACUUGCUCUCCAAAUGGACAUAUGGACAAACUGAACAGAUGAGUCCAAUUUGUUCAUCUAGAACAAGAUGGUGGUUCUCCAUCUGACAAUCACUUAGUUGUCCACUCUGCAUCGGCGAAACAGAUGGAUUUGUAAAGCCAAUAUGUAAUUCUUCGAUACACAUGUUCAUUUCAACAAAAAGAUUGUCAAUCUCCUUUUCCCAUUCUUCUUUCUCCAGAGGAAGAGGUUCCUGGUCUUCAAAUCCGAGUAUUAAAGGAAGUGUUUCUUUGACAAAAACAUGUUCCUUCUUUUCAGGAGGAGUGACUUUAUUAUGAUCAUUGACAUUUUUUAUUGAUUUAACAAUAAACUUCAGAAACUCAGACUCUUCAAGAAUCUUCUUUCGAUUCUUUCGAAGAGCAUCAGUUGAAGAUCUGAAUUCUGACUCGGAACAUGAGGUUGUAUCAGUAAACUCUUUGGAUUCGAUUGCCGCCCUAAACAUGCUUGAAGUAGAAGGAACAACCUCAUAUGUUACAUUCAACAUCGGAGCAGGCUUCUCCCUAAUGACAACAACAUCAGGAUCACUCUCCUCCUCCUACACCCUCUAAUGGUAACAACAUCAGGAUCACUCUCUUCCUCCCCCUCCUCCCUAAUGAUAACUACAUCAGGAUCACUCUCCUCCUCCUCUUCCUCCUCCCUAAUGAUAACAACAUCAGGAUCACUCUCCUCCUCCUCCUCCUCCCUAAUGAUAACAACAUUAGGAUCACUCUCAUCCUCCUCCUCAUUCUCCCUAAUGAUAACAACAUCAGGAUCACUCUCCUCGUCCUCCUCCUCCUCCUUAAUGAUAACAACAUCAUGAUCACUCUCCUCCUCCUUUUCCUCCCUAAUGAUAACAUCAGGAUCACUCUCCUCCUCAUCCUCCUUCUUCUCCUCAUCCUCCUCCUCCUCCUCCUCCCUAACAACAUUAGGACCAUUUUCCUCCUCCUCCUCCUCGCUAAUGAGAACAACAUCACCAUCACUCUCCUCCUCCGACGAAUCUGCACCAUCAUCAGAUACUUCUUCAACGAAAGGUUGAUUCGUGAAGGACUCACGAGUUCCUGGACUGAACUUUCUCUGCCCAUUGUUUUCCACAUUUCUCUCGUCACCUCCGGAAGGCUCCAUAUUUUUUCUUUUCCUUCCACAACUAAUAUUCGUAGGAUUACCACUUUGACUCACUCUGUUCCUCUUUUGGUUGUGAUGUAAAGUAGGUGUCAUUAGUGUUAAUAGUUAGUUAGUUACAGAAAGGGCAAAUUAGUCUAUCAAGAAGAGUUAGUUAUAACUAACUCAAUAUGCUGUUAUUAAAGGAAGGUACAAGGAUAGCUCUAUAAAUAGCUACUCCUCAUUGUAUUUUUGCUUUAAGUCAAUAUAUGAAAUCUUCUCCUCUCUUCUUCUUCUUUUUCAUUCUCUUCUCUAAAUCUUCCAUUCAUGAUUGAGCUUCUUUAGUUUACGAACAUGGUAUCAGAGCUUUGUGCUUUAGUCUGAUUAAGAACUGAAGUCGGUAUUGUUCAAAGGAUCAAAGAAUCAAUUGACUGAUUCAUCGAUUCAUGGAAGUGUGUUAAAGAUCGUUACAGAUCGUAGCUUGAAAUAAGGCUGGAAUCUGUUUUGUUUGUGUUUGAACUGUUAGCUAUAUUGUUAGCUAUUUGUUUCCGCGAUUUGAAGUUCAAUCUGAUCAUAAAUGGCACCUGAAAGUAAUUCAACUGAUCUGCCUCAAAAUGGAUCUGCAGCUUUUGUUUCUCAAACUAACAGUUCAGUGCAAGGACAAGGUAUUGAUUAUAAUCAUCCUCUGUUUCUUAAUCCUACUGAUGUUAGUGGUAUUAACUUGAUUUCGUUUCAACUGCUUGGUAUUGAAAAUUAUAUGCUAUGGAGUAGAUCUAUUCGUUUAGCAUUGUUAGGAAGAAAUAAGCUUGGGUUAAUUGAUGGAACUGUUAGAAAGGAAAUGUAUGGUGUAGAAUUGUGGGGACAUUGGGAAAGGGUGAACGCAAUAGUGUUGUCCUGGUUGUUGAACUCUGUGUCCAAAGGUUUGUUGAGUGGUCUUGCAUUUGCCUCUAGUGCAUUUGAUGUUUGGACUGAUCUUAGAGAAAGGUUUGAUCGAGUAGAUGGCUCUAGAACCUAUAGUUUGCACAAAGACAUAUCUUCUAUACAACAGGGUACUGCAUCUGUUUCUGAGUAUUACACAAGGCUUAAAACUCUGUGGGAUGAGUUUGAGAUAUUAGUGCCAGCUCCUUGUUGCAAUUGUGAGAUUUCAAAAGGAUUUGUGACUCACAUGAACAGACAGAAGGUAUAUCAGUUUUUAAUGGGGUUGAAUGAAUCCUAUCAACAAGCCAGGAGUCAGAUUCUUAUGCUAGAUCCAUUACCAACAAUUAAUCAUGUGUAUUCUAUGAUAGUUGGAGAUGAAUGUCAAAAGGCUGUGGUAACCUGUACUACUAGUUUGGGAAUGGCAUCUAUUAGUUUGGAUUCCUCUGUAGCUAUGUACUCAAAAGCUGGUAAUAGUUCAGGUGUUGGUAGUAGCUCGGGUAUGAAUCAGAAGUUCAAAAGGAAUUCCCUACUAAUAUGUGAUUUUUGCAAGUGUAAGGGUCAUAGCAAAGAGUUUUGUUACAAAAUAGUGGGUUAUCCUCCUGAUUUUAAAUCCAAAAGGAAGGUACAAGGGGGGUCUAGUCCACAGGCUAGCAGUCCUUCCGGCCAUUAUCCAUCAGCCCAUGCUAACUUUACAUAUGGUCUCAAUACAAAUAUUCCUCCACCUGGCUGGGGAAUCUCACUUAACCAACAACAUCUUAUGCAUGGUUCUGCUCCUGCUCCUGAAGUGUCAUCUACUGCUACUUCAAACAGAAUAAGUCAAGCUGAGAGAGAGGUUCAACAGAUGCUACAUGGGUGCACAUUUACAAAAGAUCAAUAUGAUCAUAUUUUGAAGAUGGUUCAACAGAAAUCAGAUGCUUCUACUGUUUCUGCUUGCAACACUGCUAGUACUUCAGGUAAAACUUCUUCUGUUAUUGAUCACAGUCAAGUAUGGAUUGUUGAUACAGGUGCGACAAAUCAUAUGGUCUCUAGCUUGGACAUGAUGGUGGAAGAUUCCGUGUCAAAGCUUGCAGAAGUUAAACCUGUGUACCUACCAAAUGGUACUACCACACAAGUUUCUCAUGUUGGUUCAUGUGCUUUAUCAGCCAGAAGUCUGCUCACUAAUGCAUUGCAUGUUCCUGACUUCAAGUACAAUCUGUUAUCAGUCAGUCAACUCACAAAGGAGUUAGGGUGUUCUGUCACAUUCUUUCCUAACUUUUGUGUUUUCCAGGAGCUCUGCAGUGGGAAGGUGAAGGAAGUUGGUAAGGAAGAAGGUGGUUUGUAUCUUUUAAUGAAGCACUUCACCAAUAAAAGUGAUUCCAGUACUGGCAAAGAAGUGGCAUUUACAGUUAAUAAUACACAGGCAGUAGACAUGGAGUUAUGGCAUCGAAGAUUGGGACAUGUGUCUUCUGCAGUUCUUGCGAGAAUGUUUGCUAUGAGUCACCACACUAUGUGUAAAGUGACUAAUUGUUCUGUAUGUCCUUAUGCUAAACAAACCAGAUUAGUUUUUCCUGUGAGCAGUAUCAAAACUACAGCUUGUUUUGAAUUAAUACAUGUUGAUGUUUGGAGACCCUAUGCUACACCUACUGUUGAUGGUAGCAAGUAUUUUCUUACCAUUGUUGAUGAUUUCUCUAGAAUGACAUGGUUAUUUUUGCUUAAACAUAAGUCAGCUGUGUGUGUUUCUAUCAAAGAAUUCCUUUUGUUUGUUAAAACUCAGUUUGGGAAAUCAGUCAAAAUAUUGAGGUCUGACAAUGGUACUGAGUUUGUGAAUUCAGUGUGUGUAAGUAUGUUCAAGGAAAUGGGCAUUCUGCAUCAAAGAUCAUGUCCUCAUACUCCUCAGCAAAAUGGUGUUGCUGAAAGAAAACAUAGACAUUUACUUGAGGUCACACGAGCUCUCAGAUUUCAAGCUAAUAUACCAUUAAGAUAUUGGGGUCAGUGUGUGUUAACUGCCGCUUAUCUCAUUAACAGGUUACCUAGUAAUGUACUUCAGUAUGAGACACCUUAUGAGAGACUGUAUGGUCGACAACCAGUUUUGACUCACCUCAAGACUAUAGGAUGUUUAUGCUUUGCGAAACAUUUGACUGAACAUGACAAAUUAAUGCCGAGGGUCAGGUCUGCAGUUCAUAUGGGAUAUUCUGAAAUUCAGAAAGGUUACAUUCUACUGGAUCUCAGUAAAAAUUCAUUUUUUGUAAGUCGAGAUGUGAUUUUUAGAGAGGAUCAAUUCCCUUUUGCACAGGUGCCUAGUUCUGAUCAGGAGAAGUUGUUUCCAGAAUCUCUACCUGAUUUUGCAGUCACUCCUCAUCUAGAAUACAUGUUAUCCCUUCAGUGUCCUUCCACUGCAUGUCCUUCUACAGUUCAACAUGAUGAGUCUGCGUUGCCUUUAAGUACUACACUACCUAGUCCUGAGGUGGCUCCUGAUGAAGUAGUAUCAGAUUUUAUUACGGAUGGUUCUGGGUUGGUUUCUGAGUUUAGAAGAUCAUCUAGACAUAAACAGCCUCCCGUUUGGAUGAAGGACUUUGUCUCAUGUCCUCUCAAUAAGGUUGUUCCCCACUCCAUUUGCAAUAAUAUAAGCUAUGAUCAUCUCUCUUCUUCAUACCAGUCCUACAUUGCUGCUACUUCUAUAAUCAAAGAACCCGAUACCUAUUCUGAAGCUGUGAAAGAUCAAAGGUGGGUGGAUGCUAUGCAAUCUGAAAUUCAAGCUCUUGAAAGUAAUCAUACUUGGGAGAUCACUGAUCUACCACCUGGCAAGAGACCUAUAGGUUGUAGAUGGAUUUACAAAGUCAAGUAUAAAUCUACUGGUGAGGUUGAACGAUUUAAAGCUAGGUUGGUGGCUAAGGGGUAUAGCCAACAGGAAGGGAUAGAUUACAAGGAGACUUUUUCCCCGGUUGUUAAGAUGGUCACAGUCAGAACCAUUGUGUCACUUGCAGCAUCCAGGCAUUGGCAUAUUCAUCAAAUGGAUGUGUUUAAUGCCUUCUUGCAUGGUGACUUAGAUGAUGAGAUUUAUAUGCAGUUGCCAAAGGGUUUUGUCCGUCAAGGGGAGAAGGUAUGUAGGCUGACCAAAUCCCUUUAUGGUCUCAAACAGGCCCCUAGACAGUGGAAUCAUAAACUGACUGAAGCACUGCUUAAACUGAGGUUUCAGCAAAGUCAACAUGAUCAUUCCUUGUUUAUUAACAAAGCAGAAGAAGGGAUCAUUAUAGUACUUGUGUAUGUGGAUGAUAUGUUGAUAACUGGCAGUAGUCUAAAGCUGAUAGAAGACACAAAGAGGGCACUGCAACUAGCAUUCAAGAUGAAGGAUCUGGGUGAGUUGAAGUACUUCCUAGGAAUUGAAUUUACUAGAUCAACAGAUGGCAUACUAAUGCAUCAAAGAAAGUAUGCUCUUGAGCUUAUAUCUGAGGUGGGCUUAUCAGCAGCCAAACCUGCAGGAACCCCUAUUGACAUCAAUGUUAAACUAACAUCAAAAUUAUAUGAUGACCAUGUAAAGAAGGGACAGGCAGAGACAGAGGAUCCCUUGGUAGAUCAAAUAAUGUAUCAAAGAUUAAUAGGCAAGUUGCUGUAUUUGAAUAUGACAAGACCUGAUAUAACAUUCAGUACACAAACUCUUAGUCAAUUCUUAAAACAACCAAAGAAGUCACAUCUUGAUGCUGCACUAAGAGUGGUCAGAUAUAUAAAGAGACAACCUGGACAGGGUUUGUUAUUAUCUAGUAACUCAGAUGAGUUGGUGACUGCCUUCUGUGAUGCUGAUUGGGCUUCGUGUAUGUUAACUAGAAAGUCUGUAACAGGGUAUAUGGUGAAAGUUGGUCAGUCGUUAGUCUCUUGGAAGGCAAAGAAACAAACAACAGUGUCGAAAAGCUCAGCUGAAGCUGAAUAUAGGAGCCUUGCCUCCACUGUAUCAGAGUUAGUAUGGUUGGUUGGAGUGCUGAAGGAAGUAGGAGUUGAAGUUCAAUUCCCAGUCCAAGUGUACAGUGACAGUAAAGCAGCAAUCCAAAUUGCUGCAAAUCCAGUAUACCACGAAAGGACAAAGCAUAUCGAAAUCGAUUGCCACUUUAUAAGGGAGAAACUACAACAAGGUUUAAUCAACCUGAACUAUAUUUCUACAAGAGAUCAGCCUGCAGACGUCUUGACCAAAGGAUUAUCUAGACUUCAACAUGAACACCUACUAUCCAAGCUAGGAGUGCUAAACAUUUUUGCACCACCUAGUUUGAAGGGGAGUGUUGUGAUGUAAAGUAGGUGUCAUUAGUGUUAAUAGUUAGUUAGUUACAGAAAGGGCAAAUUAGUCUAUCAAGAAGAGUUAGUUAUAACUAACUCAAUAUGCUGUUAUUAAAGGAAGGUACAAGGAUAGCUCUAUAAAUAGCUACUCCUCAUUGUAUUUUUGCUUUAAGUCAAUAUAUGAAAUCUUCUCCUCUCUUCUUCUUCUUUUUCAUUCUCUUCUCUAAAUCUUCCAUUCAUGAUUGAGCUUCUUUAGUUUACGAACACUUUUCAAUUAUCUCCAUCAUAUAUUUUAAAGAUUGUUGUCUGGUCCUCCUUUUUGAAACAGAGUCACUCCCUGAAUCCAUCUUCCGCACCUGGUUCAAACUACAUAAUUUUUAUUAUCAAUCAAAAUGAACAAGAAUAAGAGAUAACUCUAUUUACAAACACUAACCUGAAUAAAGAAAACUUUUUAUGCCAGAAAAUCAAGAAUCGAAAGCUUUGAAUUCUUGAAACUAUAAUAACAGAGUAAUAAAGGCUGAUGAGUUUGAAAUUGAAUGCAUUGAAACUUUUUUAUAUAGAAUGAGAUAAGAGUAACAGAACAAAAGAAAUGUGACUUAUAUGAGUAUUUUAUGCGUGAGAGAAAAACGAGAAAAGAGAGGAAAAACAAAUAUUUAUGAAAAGUGUGUGCAAUUUGUGACAGAUUAGAAUCUUCCAACAAAUCAUGAUGAUGUAAAGUGUGAACGUUAACACUUCCAACUGCAUCAUGUGAAUUCACAGUCAAAAUUUGUGUGUCUUCAUCAGCAAGGGUAUUUUUGUGAAAAAAUAUUUUUGUUGUUCCACUUUAAUUUAAUUAGUGUACAACUUUUCCAAAAUUGUGAAAACCACUUUAGCUAUGCCAUUAGUUUUAAUUCAUAUCAUUUAGUUAUCCCUUUAUUACUUUGAAUGUCAAUGUUAUUUGUGUAAAUUAUGUAAUUACUUUGAGUAAAAAACUGUCGAUCAAUGAAGAAAAAUGUAUACUUUAAUUAUGGAAAUCCGUAUGCGUCCCCCCCUUCCCCACAUUAAGUUUUGGAAAAAAUGAGAUCAAUGAUUACAGACCACUGAUAUAAAAGAUUUUGGGAUUGUUUACAACCUAGAUAAAGCAAAUGAUGAUUCGGUGAUGUGUCGAAUGGAUCGACGAUCACGACCCAGCUCGCCUAAACUUCCAGAACAAUUGGAUGUAGGAGUCAAGCCAAAAGGCGAGAAGAAGUUCAACUCGGUGGAUCACCGAGUCGAUCAGCGAUCCUGACUAAUUUCGUCGAGUGGACUCCGUGCUGAGAUUUUUAGAAGUUUUUGUGAACGUAUAAAUUCAUUUUUUAAAGAGAAAAGGAGCUCCCAAAGAGUGUAUUCCCCAGUUUUGAAUGCUUUUACAUAUUUUUACAUUGUUGAACAUUCUUGGAGAAGAUUUGAAUCUCGGAUUUGAGGAUUUAGGAUUCUAGCUUUAAUUUUGGCAUUGAGCAUUGCAGAUUGUUGACAAUUUGGAUGGAUAAUCUUUUUGGUAACGAUUUCUUAAUUUUUGUUAUGGUUGGAUAAAACCCCUUCCCUUGAGGGUGUGAUAAUGCAAUCAAAUACAUAAAUUAACUUGUGGAAAUUGUUAAUUGCUGAAUUUAAUGUUGUUUUGAAAUGGGUUCAAUUGUAGGUUCAUGUUUUAAUUGAUGAACUGAAGUUGCAAAUUCAGUUCUAGCUUAGCUCUCUAUGCUUGCUUGAGAAAGAGGUAUAGAGUAGAAAGAAUGAUUGAUAGUUGUAUUGAUUUGCAUCUUUACAACCCAACUUUGAGAAAGUGGGUUAAUUAAGGAAUUGGGUUGUUUGGUAUUAUUUGAGGUUCGAGAGAACUCACUCGAAACAUGAUAGUUGAUCGAGUGAUGAAUAUUAUAUUCAAAACAUAUCCUACCCAUUGAGAUUAAUUCGAUUGAUCACAUUCUUAAGGUCCUAUUUCUAAUCAUUCAAAUCCCGCGUUAAUUAUUUUUUUUGUUAGCAUUUGGUUAUUAGAAUCCCCCCCUUUGAUAAUGAUAAUUGAAACUUCGUGAUUUAUCUUAUGUUGCGUACCCUUUUACUUUUACAAAAGAUUAGAACACAUAUUUACUUCGUAUUUGAAUUCUUUAUCGUAUCACUCCCUGUGGGAUCGACCCCAACUCAUAGUUGGGUUUAUUAGUGACCGCCUACACUUUGAAUCAGAAGAAGUGUAGUUGAGCGUUAUCAUUGCUCCACUAAACCUGGAAGAGGGUCAAUCAUCAACCAGGUCAACUCGAUUCAGUGACCAAUUUUAUCGGUGGUGGAAGACACAUAUGCAUGACCGUCUGAUGGCUGAGGAUAGUAAACUAUGGGACAUUUUUCUGACUGUUCUUACAUUCCUAAUAUUGAGUUAAAGGAGGGAGAUAUCACAAAAGUUCUUCCAAAAACCCGAACACAAUAUAGUGAGGUUGAUAGAAAGAAGAUUGAGAAAAUCUACAAGGCAAAAUUUUUUUGGUAUGUGGUAUAAGAGUGACGAAUACAAUAGAAUCUCUGCUUGUGAAUCUGCAAUGGAGAUAUGGGACUGUCUCAAAACUGCUCAUGAAGAAACUCAGCAAGUGAAGGAAUCUAAUAAGGUGGAUAUGCUUACCGCCCAGUAUGAAAACUUCACUAUUGUAAGACCUUGGUCUUAGAAAGAGCUAAAUCUAGAAAGAACUAAAUUGGAAAGAGCUAAAUUGAGAUUUGGUUCAAGUUACUCUUAAUGUCACGCCCCGAGCUACCCCCGAGACGCGGACACGGGACCUAGGACCACAAGUGAUCCCAAGCUAACCCUGCUGGCAUGAUCAUGGGCAUACUAAAGAUAAUAAACUGAUGCGGAAGCUAAAUCAUAAAUAAAUCUGAAAAGAUGGGGAAUACCCAAAUACUAUAGCUGAAUAUAUCAAAUCUGAGAGUUUAAUACAAAAGAAAUAUCAAACUCAAAAUAGUAAGUUGAAUCUAACUAUGUCUAAAAUAAGCCUCUAAACUGACUAGAAAUGUUGGGACAUGCCCCAACUAGAUCUAGCAAAAACUGAAACUAAAGACUAAAAGCAAUAAAGAUAAACAUGUCACUAGUCCUCGAAGAAUGAGGACUCACCACUGAUGCUGCUGAACUGAAGAUCAGAAAUCGAUCUAAGCGUGAUCUGGAUACUGAGAACCUGAACCUACAUCACGAGAAGAUGUAGCGCACGUAUGCGUCAGUACUUGAAAGGUACUGAGCAUGCAGGAUAGAGUAAAGCUGAAAUAACAUAUAACUGAACAAAGCAAUAAAGCAAUGAAAUAAUCUGAACAUGAUAUAGAUACUGAAAAAUACUGAAUACUGAGCUAACUGAUGCAAUGACCAAAUUUAUAACAUGCUGAGACUGAAUACUGACUGUACUGAAAUAUGGUCAAUGCAAUAGAGUCUGACUGAACUGUGGGAGCUACUAAUAACCGACAUAAAACCACAUGAGCUAAAUGUGGAGUCCGAUGUAUACGCCCCAUCGAGAGGACCCAAUACACCCGGCCAAAGGUGUAGAGGCAUGCUGGCGUGAUCACUAAACUGAUGUUGCCCACAGAGGGGACUUACACCUACGUGGCUCGUAGUUCUGGGACUAUAAGGGUACGCUGAAANNNNNNNNNNNNNNNNNNNNNNNNNNNNNNNNNNNNNNNNNNNNNNNNNNNNNNNNNNNNNNNNNNNNNNNNNNNNNNNNNNNNNNNNNNNNNNNNNNNNNNNNNNNNNNNNNNNNNNNNNNNNNNNNNNNNNNNNNNNNNNNNNNNNNNNNNNNNNNNNNNNNNNNNNNNNNNNNNNNNNNNNNNNNNNNNNNNNNNNNNNNNNNNNNNNNNNNNNNNNNNNNNNNNNNNNNNNNNNNNNNNNNNNNNNNNNNNNNNNNNNNNNNNNNNNNNNNNNNNNNNNNNNNNNNNNNNNNNNNNNNNNNNNNNNNNNNNNNNNNNNNNNNNNNNNNNNNNNNNNNNNNNNNNNNNNNNNNNNNNNNNNNNNNNNNNNNNNNNNNNNNNNNNNNNNNNNNNNNNNNNNNNNNNNNNNNNNNNNNNNNNNNNNNNNNNNNNNNNNNNNNNNNNNNNNNNNNNNNNNNNNNNNNNNNNNNNNNNNNNNNNNNNNNNNNNNNNNNNNNNNNNNNNNNNNNNNNNNNNNNNNNNNNNNNNNNNNNNNNNNNNNNNNNNNNNNNNNUGAUCUGUUGAGAUUCUAGAAACCCUAGGUCUGUUCAUAAUCAUGGAAUCAAGAAUCUGACUGAAUUCUAGGGAUCUAAUGGGCGAAAGGAACCCACUAGUGAAAUCCCACAUACCUGGUGACGAAUUCCACGGAGAAAUCUUUCGAUUUCGGGGUUGGAACUGAUGGAACCUUGCUGCGUUCUUGAACUAGGGUUCUUGACCUUUUUCUCCUUUCUUGAUUCUAAAUUUCUAUGUUUUGAUUAAUGAUUUUGACUAAGGUAAGUUCUAGUUAUGUUUUUAGGCUUAAACUGAUUAAAACCUCAUGAUUUAGGGUUUAAACGACGUAUCUUAGGGGUUAAACGAAAUAGGAAAUGACUAAAAGACCCCUGAAUUAACUGCUGUCGGAGUGAUCGACGGACUGGACUGACGGUCCUUCAAUCAAUCGACUGUCCGUCGAUUGGGUCCGUAGGUCGAGUCUGCCCGACUGGGCUUCACUAAAACGAGCAUAACUUUUUACUCGGAGGUCGGAAUUAAGCAAACUUGGUGGAGUUGGAAAGAUAAUUCAAUUAUCUAUCAUACCAUUGGUCAUGGGACACACAAUUACUUUCGUGCUAAAAGUUAUGACCAUCUGAAGUUGACCCAUCAAUAAUUUUCAGCUAACUGGCUGUUGACCCUAACUUACAGUCAGACCUACGGACCGUGGAUCGAUUGACGGUCCGUGCUAGUCGACCGUAGUUUGUUUCAGAGACUGGGGAAAUGAGGUCUCAAUCCAUGGACACAGACCACGGACCGUGGUCUGAUCUACGGACCGUGGGUCUGUCCGUGAGUCGGGACUUAGCCGAUUUUCUGAGCUGGGUCCGGGAGGGGUUUCAGUGUUGAACCACGGACCACCAGCACGGGCCGUGGUCUGACCUACGGUCCGUGGAUGGCAACCGUGGGUUGCACCUAAAACUUCUCAAAAUCUGCAUUUUUAGUCUGUUUCGAAUACGGGGUGUUACACUUAAAUUGUAAAUUUUGGGUCAAAUUCAAACGAUCAUAAUUUUCAGCACGAGAUGAGUUAGGUGGCCCAUGAGAUACCAAAUCGAAGGUCGUUGAGAUUUCUUUCAAAUGACAUCGAGUUUGCUAAAUUCCAAGUUCGAAUGAGAGAGAUAUGCCCGUUUGAGUACACCCUGUCUAGUUAAGGAAGUUCAUCCAAAUUAAAAAAAGGGUAUUUUGGUCUUUUCCUUACCCCACUAGGCCUACACGUUUUUUUCACCCAAUUAGGGGUCAAAGAUGAUUAAAAUCAGUUUUCACUCAAGUCUAAAGUGUUAUAGAAUCUAGGGCAAAGUUCACGAGGAGAAAAGAGGAAGUUUUCAAGAAGUUCUUCAAGAUUUCAGGGAAAUCACCAAGAACUUAGUUCUUUCGAGGAAUGUAAGCUUUCAUAGUGUUGGUUUGCUAACCCUCACACCAAUCAUGUAAACUUUUACCCAUGGAUUCAUUCUUGAAGUUGAUUAUUGAGUUCUUGAGAAGUUCUUGAGUUAAAUUGAUAAAUUGAGGUCUUUGAAAUCCUUAAGGUGAGAGUUUUGCGAAAUAGUUGAGUCUCUUGAUUGAGUUAUUUAUGGUUUCAUUGAAAAUGUUCUGGGUGUGUGAAAUUUGACCAUAGAACUGAAGUGGGUAUGAGUUUAAUCAAGUUUGGGAAAUGAAGAGAAGAUUGGGCAAAAAUACGUGCCCACGUCCGCAUCGCGGAGGCGCUUUAAAAAUUAUGUCCCAAGAUAACUCUACCUCAAAAAUUAUUUCGCUACUAAAAAUUAAAAUCCCUCUCCGCGUCGCGCCAAUGUUCUCCAAUUUGUGUCUUCGCUCUGUGCUUAUUAUCAACUAUAUAAACCUUCCUAAACCAUUGAGAGAUCCUACAUUCUAAUCAUAACUCUUAAAUCUUCAUUUCAAAUCAAAGUAAAUAUUAAGAGUAAAGUUCGAGGAAGUCUUUUGAGUCACUUUGAGAAGUCUUUGUCAAUCUUUUUAAACUUGAUUUAAGACUUGGAUACUUGUAUGAGGAUGAGGAGGGUUGAGUUUAGUUUCAAAAUGAGUAUGAGGGUACUAAGUAUUCCCAAGCUUGUAACACUUUACAUUUAAGAUGAGACGAAACCUUGAUUUCUAAAUGAGUUCAUUAGGAGUUUUGAGCAUUAUCUCUUUUAAGAGAUUCUUUUGUGUAAUUAUCUCAAAUUGAGGAGGAGUUAUGGUUUCUUUAAAAACAUAUGAGCAUGAGUUAUAUAUAUUAUUGGGAUUAGUAUUGAACACCAAUAUGGGGAUGAGUUCAGACAACUUAAAAUCCUCAUAAACCAUGUAUGCCAACAUAGGUAAAGGAUCAUACUUCUUAGACAAUUCUUUAUUACUUUUAAGCAUAGAUUAGUGGAUCCACUUAGUUGGGGAUGUCUUAUACUCUGGCAGGAUAUAUGAUAGUUCUGGCAGCAUGGUCAAGAUGAUGUAUCAUCACAUAACUCAUAUUGAUGGUUUUCAAUUAGAAAAUCUCCCAAAUAAGACUAAAGAGUUUAUUAUUGUAUGUUUAUAUAUAUUGAGUUAUUAUCUACUGUUUUAAAAGCUUCUUUUAUACUGCAUCUUUAUUGUAGCUCUUAUAUUGAAUUGAGUUAAGUAUCCUUGAGUUGAGUAUUCUUGAGUUAAGCUGAGUUGAGUUGAGAUGAGGUGAGUAUGUUCUUCCUUUAUAUCAAUUCAAGCUUUUAUCUAUGCUUUAGAGUACCCCUUGCAUGCUCGUGCAUUCAAUAUACUGACACCAUUUGGCCUGCAUCUUUUUAUGAUGCAGAUAAAUGUAUUUAGGGUCAUCACAGGCGCUUUGUUGAUACCACUUGCAGUUUCAAUUAGUUUUUGUGAGCCUCCUUGCUUCCGGAGGAUUCCACUUUUAUUUUCAAUCUUAUUAAGAUGUCGUGGGUCUUGUCCCGACGUCUAUCAUAGUUAGUAAAGGCUUCAUAGACAAAAGUGUUUUGAGGGGUUUUUUCCAUUUCCAUUGUUAAUGUUUAAGACUUGAGUUUCCUUUUUAAAUCAAGUUGAAUACUUUAAAUAUUCUAAGUUAUUUAUCUUGAGACUUUUGAGUUAAUCUUGAGGUCAUAUAUUAUUGAGUAAGUCUUCCGCUGAGUAUUGAGUCAGGCCAAGGAUUCGCUUGGGGACCAACAAUGGUUCUCGGAUGUCGUUCACGUCCAGGGUGUAGGUUCGGACAAACUUUGUAUCAGAACACAGAGUUUUAAGAGUCCUAAGGUGUUUGUGAAGCCGUGUCUGUAGAGUCCUGAUUAUCGGUGUGAAGCGUGCAACAUCUAUAAUUAGAAGGCAAUAACAUUUAGGAAAUAUUUUACUUUUUCAUACUCUUUUCGUGCGAUAGAGUUCAACUCUAUAAAAGUUUCUUUAUAAUUUGUGCUUGCGCGUAUCUUUCAGAUCAUGCCUCCAUGAAGAGCUGUUCGAGGUCAUCCUGCUAGAAGACAAUUGAUCCCAGGAUCAAGGGCUCCCCAAUGCACCAGAAGUGCAACCCCAAGGAGAGGGCACUAAUGCUAAGUUCCGGGAUGCUAUCUGGAUGUUGAGUCAGGUUGUGACCAACCAAGCUGGGCAACAAGGAGGGAUUCAUAAGGAUAUGGCUGAUACAUCCAGGAUCCGUGAGUUCUUGAGGAUGAAUCCUCCAAACUUCACAGGGUCAAGUGUCACUAAAGAUUCGAAAAAAAUUGUGGAGGAACUACAAAAAGUAUUUGAGGUUAUGCAUAUUGGUGAUGUUGAUAGAGUGUAGCUAGCUGCAUACCAGCUUAAGGGUGUGAUGAAGAUUUGGUACAACCAAUGGGAAAAGAGCAGGGCUGAAGGGGCACCAAUUGUGAGCUGGGUUGUGUUUGAAGGUGCCUUCAUAGGAUGUUUCUUUCCCCGUGAAUAGAGGGAGGCAAAGGUAAGAGAAUUUCUCACUGUUAAGAAGGAAUCCAUGGGUGUGCAUGAGUACAGCCUCAAGUUCACCCAACUGUCUUGUUAUGCUUCGGAGAUGGCUGCUGAUAUAAGGAGCAUGAUGAGCUUGUUUGUGUCUGGGUUGUCUCGCUUGCCGAUUAAGGAGGGUAAGGUAACUAUUUUAAUAGGGUACAUGGACAUAGCAAGGCUUAUGAUCCAUGUACAGCAGGUUGAUGAGGACACGUUGAGAAAUAUGGAAUAGUUUCGCAAUAAGAAGGCUAAGAAAACAUGUAAUGAGUCUAGGCAACAAAAUGCUGGUAAUGCGAACCGGUCAUGUUUUCAACAAAAGCCAAGUAGACCUACUCCAUCAUUUGCUAGUUCACCUGCACCAAAGAACAGAGGUGAGUUCAGGAAUUAGAAUUUGCAGAACUUCAGAGCUCGACCUGCUCAGUCCCAAGGUAGUGUGGCACAAGGGGCCAACUAGACUCCUACGUGUGCUAAGUGUGGUAGAAACCACCUAGGAGCGUUUCGUGAUGGCUCUACUGGUUGUUUCAAGUAAGGUCAAACAGACACUUACUGAGAGAGUGCCCUAAGAAUAGGAAAGGUAAUGGUAAUGGGGGAAAUAGAUCCCAAUUUUCUUCAACGGCUCCAACAGACAGAGCUGCACCUAGAAGAGCUACUUCAGGAACAGGUGGAGGAGCAAACCAUCUGUACGCUAUCACCAGUCGCCAAGAGCAAGAGAAUUCACCUGAUGUUGUCACUAGUAUGAUCAAAGUCUUUACUUUUGAUGUAUAUGCAUUGCUUGAUCCAGGUGAAACUCUAUCUUCUGUGACUCCGUAUAUUACUAUGAGAUUUGAUAUUCUUCCCGAGUAACUUCUUGAGCCCUUUAGUGUUUCCACACCGGUUGGUUAGUCUAUUCUAGCUGAGAGAGUUUAUCGUGAUUGUACCAUGUAUGUCAAUCACAUGGACACCGUGGCUAACUUAGUCGAGUUAGACAUGGUGGACUUUAAUGUUAUUCUAGGUAUGGACUGGCUUCAUUCUUGUUAUGCCUCACUUGAUUAUAGAACUCAAGUAGUUAAGUUCUAGUUUCCUAAUGAGCCAGUUAUAGAGUGGAGGAGUAGUUCAGCAGUGCCUAAGGAUCGUUUUAUUUCAUAGGUUAAGGCCAUAAAGUUAAUUUCCAAGGGGUGCAUCUAUUACUUAGUCCAAGUUAAUGACUCAAGUGUUGAGACACCACAUAUUCAGUAAGAUCCACUUGUGAGUGAGUUUCCAAAGGUCUUUGCAGAUGAUUUUCACGGAGUCCCUCCUGAGAGAGAAAUAGACUUCGACAUGGAUAUUUACCUUGAUACUCGACCUAUCUCCAUUCCGCUAUAUAAAAUGGAUGCAACUGAGAUGAAAGAGUUAAAAGAGGAAUUGAAAAACCUUCUUGAUAAAGGUUUAAUUCAAUCAUGUGUCUCAUGUUGGGGCACUCCGAUCUUAUUUGUGAGGAAUAAAUAUGGUUCUCUUAGGAUGUGUACUGAUUACCACAAAUUGAACAAGGUUACUAUAAAGAACAAGUACCCCCUUCCGAGAAUUGACGAUAUUUUCUAUCAACUUCAGGGUGCCACUUUCUUUUCUAAGAUAGACCUUCGAUCAGGAUAUCAUCAGUUGAGAGUAAGAGAAAAUGACAUCCCGAAGACAACAUUCAUGACCCACUAUGGUCAUUAUGAGUUUCUAGUAAUGUCUUUUGGUUUGACUAAUGUUCUUCCAGCGUUCAUGGAUGUAAUGAACAGGGUAUUUAAGUCAUAUUAUGACAUAUUUGUUAUCGUGUUUAUUGAUGACAUUCUGAUUUAUUCGAGGAAUGAGGUGAAUCAUGGUAGUCAUCUUAGAGUAGUUCUCCAAACUCUCAGAGAUAGAGAGUUGUAUGCCAAAUUUUCCAAGUGAGAGUUUUGGCUUGAGUCAUUGACGUUCUUAGGCCACAUUAUUUCUAGUGAAGGGAUUCGAGUUGACACUCAAAAGAUUGAAGUAGUGCAGAACUGGCCCACCCAUAUCUCCAACUGAUAUUAGGAGUUUCUUGGGAUUGGCUGGUUAUUAUAGAAGGUUUAUCAAGGGGUUCUCAUCUAUUUUUUCCAUGUUGACAAAGUUGACUUAAAAGACAGUGAAGUUUCAAUAGUCUGAAGCUUGCGAUAAAAGGUUUUAGGAAUUGAAAACACGGUUGACUACUACUCAGUGUUGACCUUAUAGGAGGGUACACAAGGCUUUGUUCUGUAUUGUGAUGUGUUCAGAGUUGGUUUGGGUUGUGUAUUGAUGCAGAAUGGCAAAGUUAUAGCUUAUGCCUCCAGACAACUUAAGAUUCAUGAGAAGAAUUACCCGGUUCAUGAUCUCGAGUUGGUUCCAUUAGUGUUUGCUUUGAAAAUAUGGCAUCACUAUCUCUAUGGUGUUCAUGUUGAUGUGUUCACCAUUCACAAAGUCUUCAGUAUGUGUUCAGUCAGAAAUAGCUUAAUCUCAGACAGAUGAGGUGGUUGGAGUUACUCAAGGAUUAUGACAUGAGUAUUCUCUAUCACCCAGGUAAGACUAAUGUUGUUGUUGAUGUUUUGAUCAAGUUAUCUAUGGGUAGUACUGCCCAUGUUGAGGAAGGCAAGGAAGAAUUAGCCAAAGAUGUGCACAGACUUGCACGAUUGAGAGUCUGGUAAUGGAUUCCAAUGUAGGUGGAGUGGUGGUGAUGAAUGGGGCUGAAUCAUCACUAGUGUUUGAACCGAUGGAGAAAUAAGACCAAGACCUAUUUUGCUUGAGUUGAAGGAAAAUGUUCAUAAGCAGAAAGUGAUGGCUUUUGAACAAGGGGGAGAUGGUGUGUUGAGGUAUCAAGGCAGAUUGUGUGUACCAAAGGUGGAUAAACUCCAAGAGAGGAUCAUGGAAGAAGCGCAUAGUUCGAGAUACUCUAUCCAUCCCGAUUCCAAAAGAAGAAAAUAACCAAGAUAAUCUACCCGAAAUAAGAAAUGAAGAAAUAAACGACGAUGAUCUAGAACAACAUUCGGAAACAAGAGAAACAUAUACGGAACUUUUAGCAAACAUAGAUAAUAUAAAGAAUUCAGAAAUAAAUACAGGAGACGUAGACAUGGAUGAAAAACCUAGCACAUCAGGAGUAAAAAACCCAAAAAAUUUAAAUCCAAAAUAUUAUAAUGAAAACUAUGAACAAUAUGAUAGAGAAAAAACUACAUGGGAUAAAAGAUUAAAUAAAAAAUGGACACCUAAACCAAUAACUGGACAACAUGAUUUUUUAGAUUUAGACUGUGUAGCAGAUAUAAAUAAAACAAUCCAAUUAUGGAUAGGAUAUAUAUCAAAACAAUUAAUAGAUAAAAAAAAUAGGAAUGACAGAAACACCAGGAUAUAUAGAAAUUAUCAGAUGAAAGUUUAAAAACUCUAAGAAGCAAUAAAAAAUCAAAUGGCGAAUUAGCUACUACAACUAUAGAAAUAUUAUAUAAAUACGAAGUAGCUAUACGAAAUGAAUUUAGUAGUAUGACAACAGAGGUAGAAGAACAAAAUAAAGAAAAAAUCAUAAACCGAAAUCUAAUGACAAAAUUAGCAAUAUGUAAUAUGUGUUAUAUAGAUGAAUAUACAUGUGCAUUUAGAGAAUAUUAUUAUAAAGGAACAUAUAACAUAGAAGAAAGUAAAGAAAUAAGAAAAUUAUAUUUUACAAAAUUACCGGAACCUUUUAAUUCAAAAGUAAUAAAAAGUUGGAAUGAAGCAGAAUUAACAGAUACCUUAGGAGUUAGAAUAAAAUUCUUGCAACGAUGGUUUAUGGAACUAUGUGAAAAACAUAAAGAAGAAAUAAAAAUGGAAAAAAUAUUAGUAAAAAACUUGGCAUGUUGCAAAAAUAAAACAGCACCUCAAUUUGGUUGUACGGAUAAGUAUUAUAAAAAUAGAAAGAAAUAUAAUAAAAAAUACAGAUCAAAAUAUAAAUAUAAAAAACCAAGAAGAAGAUAUUAUGUAAAAAACUACAAAACCAAAAGACCAUAUAGACCAAAAAGAAAACUAACGGAAUGUACUUGUUAUAAUUGUGGAAAAUUAGGACAUAUAGCUAGAGAUUGUAAAUUACCUAAAAAUCCAAAGAAAAAACAAAUAUCAGAAAUAAUAAUAGACGAUGAAAAAUAUACGCAGAUAGAAUACAUAGAUUAUGAAUUAGAAAGUGAAGAUAGUAUAUAUGAAAUAUCAGAAAAUGAAAUGAAUAAUGAUAUAGAAAUAGAAUCAGAUAAUGAAUUCUAUAAUAUAACAAAUGACUGAAACAGAUAUACAAAUAAUAAAUAAAGAAAAACAUCAAGACGAAGAAUCUUCAGAACAAAAAAUAAUAUUUGAUAAUAAUAUAUUUGAACAAAUAAAAGGAAAAGAACUAGACCUAAGCAUAGCAAAAAUAUUCGAAAUACCAACAAUAAGAAACUGGUUUAAACGACAAAAAGAAGAAUAUUAUGUAGUAAGUCAAAGAGAACAUAUCAUAGAUUGCAAAUACACUAAAGGUAAGGCCAAAAUACCAAUAAUAAAUAAACGAAUAAUAAAUAAAGAAAUACAAGAUAUUAAGGCUAAAAAUCCAAUUAAAUAUGUACAUUUAGGAGGAACAGAAAUACUAAUAAAAGCAUGUUUUAGAGAAGGAAUAGAUACACCCAUAGAAAUAUAUUUAGCGGAUGAUAGAAUCAUACAACCCAUAGAAAAAAGUAUAAUAAGUGCUGUAAAAGAUAACCUCAUAUACCAAACAUUUAAAUUUAUAAUAAGUGCUAACUACUCCGUAGCAAUAAAUGAAAGGUACAUAUAUAAAUCACUAGUAUUAUAUUGGAAAAUGUCAGGAAUAGAACUAGCCCCGGGAAGUAAAAUAUUUACCGCUAGAUGUAAAAACUUAUAUGUUUUAACAACAAAACAUAAAAUAACAGCAAAAAAUAAAAUAAAUAAAAUAAAAAUAGAAGAUCCUUUUGAAAGAAUAGUCACAGUCAUAGAUAAAAAUGAUUACAGUUAUAAUGAGAUUGAUAUAGAAGAAGAUUUAGAAAUAGUAAAAGAAAGAUUAAGCACAUCGAAAAGAAUAAACUGUGAAAUACCACAAAUAUCAUAAAAAAUGAGUACUACAAGAAGAAUAGAUAAAACACCACACCACAAAAAUCAAUGGAAGAAGAAAUAAAACCACAUCAUUACUACAUAACGGGAUUAAUGGAACAACGAAAAUAUUUAAUAUUAAUAGAUACAGGACGAGAAGAAAACUAUAUUACAAGAGAAUUAGUAACGGAAGAUGAAAUAAUAACUACUGAGCAAUCAUGCCCCGAAUUACCAAAGGCAUUAAUGUAUACCGAAGAAACUACAGAAAAGGAAAUAAUCAUUGGAGGAGUACCAAUAGUAAUAAAAUUUAAAAUAUAUCAAGGAGAUGAAAAUAUCACUUUAGGAAUAAAAUGGUUAGAACAAGUUUAACCAUAUAAUCUAGAAGACAAACAAUUGACAAUAAAUUAUGAAAAUAAAAGAGUAAUAAUAAAAAGAACCUAAGUAUGACAAUAUACAUACUUGCAAAGAUAAUAAUAGAGGGAUAUUACAAUAGAUAUUAUACACCAAUGAUAGAUACGGGAGCAGAAGCUAAUAGAUGUAAAUACAAUUGUUUACCAGAAGAUAAAUGAGAAAAAUUAAAAACACCGAUAGUAGUAACAUGAUUUAAUAAUGAAGGAAGCAUGAGUACAUACAAGGCAAAAAAUAUAAAAAUACAAAUAUGGGAUAAGAUAUUAACUAUAGAGGAAAUAUAUAACUUUGAAUUAACUACAAAAUAUAUGUUAUUAGGAAUGCCAUUUUUAGAAAAAAUUAUACUCACAUAUAAUAACAAAAACACACUGGUGGUUCACAACACCAUGUAAACAAAAAAUAGUAGCAAAGAGAGUAAAUAACAAAAAACGAAAGACAAUAGAAUGGAUAAAAGGAAGUGAAAAAAUUACACAAAAAUUAGAAAAUAUAAAAGAAGAAGACCCUAAGAUAGAAUUAAUUAUAUUUUCUAUAGAUAAAGUAAAAAUAAUCCAAGAUAAGUUAGAAUUAUUAUAUAGUGAAGAUCCUUUACAAGGAUGAGAAAAACAUAAAACAAAAAUAAAAUUGAGCUAAUUGAUAAUAAUAGUAUAAUAACCCAAAAACCAUUAAAGUAUAAUUUUAAUGAUUUAACAGAAUUUAAGAUACAUAUAAGUGAAUUAUUAGAAAAAUGAGUAUAUACAAGAAAGCAAUAGUAAGCACACAAGCCCGGCAUUUAUCGUAAACAAACAUAGUGAACAAAAAAGAGGAAAAAGCAGAAUGGUUAUUGAUUAUAGAAAUUUAAAUGCAAAAACUAAAACAUAUAAUUACCCAAUACCAAAUAAAAUAUUAAAAAUAAGACAAAUACAAGGAUAUAAUCACUUCAGUAAAUUUGACUGCAAAUCAGGAUUUUACCACUAGAAGAAGAAUCUAACAAACUUACAGCAUUUACAGUACCACAAGGAUUUUAUGANNNNNNNNNNNNNNNNNNNNNNNNNNNNNNNNNNNNNNNNNNNNNNNNNNNNNNNNNNNNNNNNNNNNNNNNNNNNNNNNNNNNNNNNNNNNNNNNNNNNNNNNNNNNNNNNNNNNNNNNNNNNNNNNNNNNNNNNNNNNNNNNNNNNNNNNNNNNNNNNNNNNNNNNNNNNNNNNNNNNNNNNNNNNNNNNNNNNNNNNNNNNNNNNNNNNNNNNNNNNNNNNNNNNNNNNNNNNNNNNNNNNNNNNNNNNNNNNNNNNNNNNNNNNNNNNNNNNNNNNNNNNNNNNNNNNNNNNNNNNNNNNNNNNNNNNNNNNNNNNNNNNNNNNNNNNNNNNNNNNNNNNNNNNNNNNNNNNNNNNNNNNNNNNNNNNNNNNNNNNNNNNNNNNNNNNNNNNNNNNNNNNNNNNNNNNNNNNNNNNNNNNNNNNNNNNNNNNNNNNNNNNNNNNNNNNNNNNNNNNNNNNNNNNNNNNNNNNNNNNNNNNNNNNNNNNNNNNNNNNNNNNNNNNNNNNNNNNNNNNNNNNNNNNNNNNNNNNNNNNNNNNNNNNNNNNNNNNNNNNNNNNNNNNNNNNNNNNNNNNNNNNNNNNNNNNNNNNNNNNNNNNNNNNNNNNNNNNNNNNNNNNNNNNNNNNNNNNNNNNNNNNNNNNNNNNNNNNNNNNNNNNNNNNNNNNNNNNNNNNNNNNNNNNNNNNNNNNNNNNNNNNNNNNNNNNNNNNNNNNNNNNNNNNNNNNNNNNNNNNNNNNNNNNNNNNNNNNNNNNNNNNNNNNNNNNNNNNNNNNNNNNNNNNNNNNNNNNNNNNNNNNNNNNNNNNNNNNNNNNNNNNNNNNNNNNNNNNNNNNNNNNNNNNNNNNNNNNNNNNNNNNNNNNNNNNNNNNNNNNNNNNNNNNNNNNNNNNNNNNNNNNNNNNNNNNNNNNNNNNNNNNNNNNNNNNNNNNNNNNNNNNNNNNNNNNNNNNNNNNNNNNNNNNNNNNNNNNNNNNNNNNNNNNNNNNNNNNNNNNNNNNNNNNNNNNNNNNNNNNNNNNNNNNNNNNNNNNNNNNNNNNNNNNNNNNNNNNNNNNNNNNNNNNNNNNNNNNNNNNNNNNNNNNNNNNNNNNNNNNNNNNNNNNNNNNNNNNNNNNNNNNNNNNNNNNNNNNNNNNNNNNNNNNNNNNNNNNNNNNNNNNNNNNNNNNNNNNNNNNNNNNNNNNNNNNNNNNNNNNNNNNNNNNNNNNNNNNNNNNNNNNNNNNNNNNNNNNNNNNNNNNNNNNNNNNNNNNNNNNNNNNNNNNNNNNNNNNNNNNNNNNNNNNNNNNNNNNNNNNNNNNNNNNNNNNNNNNNNNNNNNNNNNNNNNNNNNNNNNNNNNNNNNNNNNNNNNNNNNNNNNNNNNNNNNNNNNNNNNNNNNNNNNNNNNNNNNNNNNNNNNNNNNNNNNNNNNNNNNNNNNNNNNNNNNNNNNNNNNNNNNNNNNNNNNNNNNNNNNNNNNNNNNNNNNNNNNNNNNNNNNNNNNNNNNNNNNNNNNNNNNNNNNNNNNNNNNNNNNNNNNNNNNNNNNNNNNNNNNNNNNNNNNNNNNNNNNNNNNNNNNNNNNNNNNNNNNNNNNNNNNNNNNNNNNNNNNNNNNNNNNNNNNNNNNNNNNNNNNNNNNNNNNNNNNNNNNNNNNNNNNNNNNNNNNNNNNNNNNNNNNNNNNNNNNNNNNNNNNNNNNNNNNNNNNNNNNNNNNNNNNNNNNNNNNNNNNNNNNNNNNNNNNNUGAUUUAUUCCAAUUCAAGGGAGCUAAGGAAAGCAGAUAUGGAUGAAGUCCAGAGAUGGAUUUUAUCAUUACUUAAGCCAGAAGAACGACCUACAACACGAGCACUAAAGAUAGGAUUUAUUUCAAUAGAGUUAUUAACCAGAUAUUGCAAGUUAAUUGGACAUAAAUACCCUGAUCAUAUAUGUUGAAAGUGCAACGGAGAAGAUAACAUAAUUCUAGAUGUAGACUUGGAAUGAUAAUGAAAGAUAAAAGGAGACAAAGGAAGAUGGACAAGAUAAGAAGUUAAGAAAGCUAAAGUCAUCUACGUAUUAUUGCAAAGAUGUAAAAGUCAUAAAGCUAUUUAACUUAUUAGAAAUAGUAGUAGACAUAUGUAAAGUUAUUAGAAAUAGUAGCAGACAUGUGUAAAGUAGGAAUAGUUAAAUUAGUGUAAAUUAGUCAACAGUGUAUAUUAAAAGUAGUAGGUAUGGUGUGUAGGGACAAGUGUAGGUAUGGGUAGGUAUGGGAUUGUAAGACAAGUGUAAAGAGUAAGUAUGGAAUUGUAAGAAAGCCAUCAAGUAGUGUAAAAAAGUCAUAAGAGUAAGUAAUAUAGUACGUGCACAUUAUUGUGCAUUACUGUAGAGAUAAGGUAGGAAUUGUAAAGUAGUAGUCGUUUCCUUUCUAUAUAAAGGGACGCAGAUGUAAAUGAAAAGGCAGGUAACGCCUAAGGCAAUUAAAAAAUCCUCUUUCAUAAAAAAUACUCUCUCAACUAAGAUAAAUAUUUAAAAUACUAAUGGAAAAAUCUAAAAUCCAAUAAGAUAUUUCAGAUAGCAGGGCUAAGCAAGAGGCAAAGGUAUAUUGUUCAAAAAAUAUGCAGAACUAAUUUCAUAUAUUCCUGAAUAUCAUAUAUAUGAUUGAAUAAAUUUAUGUUAGUUAUUAUGUAUUAGAAUUAUUUGAAUCAUGAUUUCUAGUUUAUUAGCACACUGGAAACAGGGAGAAAACUUCUAUACUAUGCCAUCCUAAUGUUGAAACCGGUAGGCGAGGAAAGCCGUUUAGGGGAGUAAACAAAGUUGAGGCGCUGAUAAGAAGGAAGUAUCCGCUAAAGUACGAUGCUAGUAGUGACAAGAAAACAUGAUAAAGAUAAUCUAGUUCAUAAUGAUCUAAUAUGAAUUUAAUCAAUUAUGAAUAUGAUAAGAAGGAAUAAUUGAAAAUAAAAAACUUGCAUAACAACGAACAUGACUACAUACAUGCAUGAUGAAAUGAUAAAAAACUAUGAAACCAUGAAUUCCUCAACUACCAGUUCCGCACCGAAAAAAGAUAUCAGAUUAUAAUAAAAUCUUUAAAAUAAAAUACUCACCUACCACACUACCACUUCCAUGAAUUCCUCAACUACCAGUUCCGCACCGAAAAAAGAUAUCAGAUUAUAAUAAAAUCUUUAAAAUAAAAUACUCACCUACCACACUACCACUUCCAUGAAUUCCUCAACUACCAGUUCCGCACCGAAAAAAGAUAUCAGAUUAUAAUAAAAUCUUUAAAAUAAAAUACUCACCUACCACACUACCACUUCCAUGAAUUCCUCAACUACCAGUUCCGCGCCGAAAAAUGGUAAUAUGUACGGAUGAGAGAGAUAUGCCCGUUUGAGUACAGCUUGUCUAGUUAAGGAAGUUCAUCUAAAUUAAGGAGGGAUAUUUUGGUCUUUUCCUUACCCCACUAGGCCUACACAUUUUUUAUUACCCAAUUAGGGAUCAAAGCUGAUUAAAAUCAGUUUUCGCUCAAGUCUAAAGCGUUCAAGAAACUAGGGCAAAACUCAAGAGGAGAAAAGAGGAGGUUUUCAAGAAGUUCUUCAAGAUUUCGGGAAAAUUGCCAAGAACUUAGUUCUUUCGAGGUAUGUAAGCUCUCAUAGUGUUGGGUUUGUUCGCCCUCACACCAAUCAUGUAAACUUUUACCCAUGAAUUCAUUCUUGAAGUUAAUUAUUGAGUUCUUGAGAAGUUGUUGUGUUAAAUUGAUAAAUUGAGGUCUUUGAAAUCCUUGAGGUGAGAGUUUUGCGAAAUAGUUGAGUCUCUUGAUUGAAUUCUCUGUGGGUUUCAUUGAAAAUGUUCUGGGUUUGUGAAAUUUCAUGAAAUUGAACCAUAGAACUGAAGUGGGUAUGAGUUUAAUCGAGUUUGGGAGAGGAAGAAAAAAUCGGGCAAAAAUACAUGCCUAGGUCCACGUCACGGAGGCGCUUUAAAAAUUUGGUCCUCAAAUAAUUACCCCUUCUCCGCGUCGCAAAGAGGAUACAUAGUCUUCUGCCUCAAAAAUUAUUUCGCGACCAAAAAUAAAAAUUCCUCUCCGGGUCGCGCCAGUGUUCCCCAGUGUCUUCGCUCGUUUUAUAUUGUCAACUAUCUAAACCUUCCUAUAUCAUUGAGAGAUCCUACAUUCUAAUCAUAACUCUUAAAUAGUCAUUUCAAAUCGAAGUAAAGAUUAAGAGUAAAGUUCGAGGAAGUCUUUUAAGACUUGAGUACUUGAGUAUGAGAAUGAGGAGAGUUGAGUUUAUUUUCAAAAUGAGUAUGAGGGGACUAAGUAUUCCCAAGCAUGUAACACUUUUACAUUUAAGAUGAGAAGAAACCACGAUUUCUAAAUGAGUACAUGAGGAGUUUUGAGCAUUAUCUCUUUUAAGAGAAUCUUGUGAGUAAUUAUCUCAAAUUGAGGAGGAUUUAUGUUUUAUUUAAAAACAUAUGAGCAUGAGUUCAGACAACUCAAAAUCCUCAUAAACCAUGUAUGCCAACAUCGGUAAAGGAUCAUACUUUUUAGAUGAUUUCUUAUUGCUUUUAAUCAUAGCUUAGUGAAUCCACUUAGUUGAGGAUGUCUUAUACUCCGGCAAAGUAUAUGAUAGUUUUGGCAGUGUGGGCAAGACAUUGUAUCAUCACAUAGCUCAUUGUGAUGGUUGUCGGUUAGAGAAUCUCCCAAAUAAGAGUAAAUAGUUUAUUAUUGUAUUUUUAUAUAUAUUGAGUUAUUAUCUACUGUUUUAAAAGCUUUCUUUAUACUGCAUCUUGUUGAUUUUAGAUUGAACUGAGUUGAGUAUCCUUGAGUUGAGUUGAGUAUCAUUGAGUUGAGUUGAGUUGAGUUGAGAUGAGGUGAGUAUGUUCUUUCUUUUUAUCAGUUCAAGCUUAUGUCUAUGCUUUAGAGUUCCCCUAGCAUGCUCGUACAUUCAAUGUAUUAACGCCAUUUGGCCUGCUUUUUUAUAUGAUGUAGAUACAAGUAUUCAGGAUCAUCAAUAGGCACUUCGUUGAUAUCACUUGCAUUUCCGGUUAGUUUUGGUGAGCCUCCUUGCAUCUGGAGGAUUCCACUUUUAUUUUCAGGCUUAUUAAGAUGUCGUGGGUCGUGUCCUGAUGUCUAUCAUAGUUAGUAGAGGCUUCAUAGAUAGUAGUGUUUUGAGGAGUCUUUUCCAUUUCCAUUGUUAAUGUUUAAGACUUGAGUUGCCUUUUUUAUGGUUAGUUUAAUACAUUAAAUAUUCGAAGUUAUUUAUCUUGAGACUUUUGAGUUAAUCUUUGCAAAUUGAGGUCAUAUAUUGUUGAGUAAGUCUUCCGUUGAGUAUUGAUCCAGGCCAAGGGUUCGCUUGGGGACCAACAAUGGUUCUCGAGUGCCGGUCACAUCCAGGGUGUAGGCUCGGGGAGUGACAACUAUGAAAGAGAGUGAAACCAUUCAUAAAAUGUACACCAGAUUUUCCUCCAUAACCAAUGAACUUAAGAGUUUUGGGUGAACCCAUUCAUCUAAGUAAACCGGUCAUAGAGGUGAUAAGAAUCCUCCCAAAGUCUUGGGAUAGUAAAAUGCUGCAAUUACUAAAGUCAAGGACCUGAAGGUACUGAUAAUGGAUACAUUGAUUGGAAAUCUGCAAGCCUAUGAAAUGCACAUGAAUCAAGAUCCCUCAAAGAAAGAAGCAAAAAAGGAUAAAUCUCUAGCUCUCAAGGUGUCUCAGAGUGAAAUUCUUGAAAUGGAUGAAGAUAUGGCAUAUCUCACUCGUAGGCUCCAAAAGAUUGUAAGAAAACAUGGAGGUUUCAUGAAGAACAGUGUCACGAUCCGAGACUACCCCCUAGUAGUAACACGAUGCUUAGAGUCACGAGUGACCUCAAGCUAACCCUUGAUACUGGCAUAGUCAUGAGCAACUAAAUAUAAACAUGUAAAAGAAUGAAAAUGACUGAGUGGAAGCAUAAUUAUGAAAAACUGGUUCAAUAUAUUUUUGAAUAAAAGUUUGUAUACAACAACUAUAAUGCGAAAGGAAUCUGAAAUAGAAUAGAGUGAAUACAAAAACUCUAACUAGGUGUCUAUGAAGUCUCUAAUUGUCACGACCUAAAAAGAGUCAUGAGCGGCACCCAGACUUAACCUUCUAGGUGGGCGAACCAACGAAUUCAACCCCAACCUAUAUUUAUUGUUCAACUCAUGAAAUACAAACUAUAAUGCGAAAGCUCAAAUGUUAUUAAUAUAAGAAACACAUAUCCACUAAAGUCUAUUAAAUAUCGUUAAUUUAUCAUUCAUUAUCACCACUUUUAAUUUCAUUAACAAUGUUUCAUCAAGCCUUCUUUAUUCAGGGCAUCACUUUGAUAGAGAAAGUUCAAGAUUAUAAAUUUCACGGUCUCAUGAUUUCAGACCAAUUGCAAAUCACACAACCAAGCCACAUAACCACACAACCAAGUACAUAGAGAAAUUCACGAUAUCACUCAAUGACUAUCAAUCAAUAUUAAGAGUCUAUCUAUCACAUAGAAUAAACCAUAACCUACCUCCACCAAAGAACCGAAGUCAAGCGAGCUAAUUACCCAGUGCCUUUCCUUUCCUCAAUACUUCCGAAUGUUUCCAAUCUAUCAAGUAUACAAUACACCGAAUAUUUAUAUCUAUCUCCAUAUAUCAAAACCUAAUUUUAUAACAUGAUAAGAAAAAAAAAA
Molecule: long non-coding RNA, 84464 nt
Filed under: Solanum tuberosum (potato)
Lineage: Eukaryota; Viridiplantae; Streptophyta; Magnoliopsida; Solanales; Solanaceae
Description: long non-coding RNA (STUB_LNC011710)
Source: RNAcentral